Molecule: long non-coding RNA, 49033 nt
Filed under: Volvox carteri
Lineage: Eukaryota; Viridiplantae; Chlorophyta; Chlorophyceae; Chlamydomonadales; Volvocaceae
Description: long non-coding RNA (VCAR_LNC001573)
Source: RNAcentral
CCCCACAGCGACAGCUGCGACGGACUUGCCAAUCGUGACCUAUACGGUCAGGGUUCUUAAUUACACCUUCAACAACCCCAACUCCAAGUGCUAUUUCUCCCUGUUUGGUGGCGGCACCUUCAACAUCACCGGGUAUGGGUUUGUGAAGGACUUGGUCGAUACGACACUUCAAGUCAACAUGACGGCUGCUUGGGAAACCGUCUUUUGUGGCUCAGGAUUUUCGAACUCGCCACCGUGCCAGGCUGUCAACUCGUCACGCCUGAAUCUUGUGCCGCUGGCAAGCGACGGCUUCACUGCAUCAUUUGGGCUGACACGCUUCAAGGUGCCUAAUCCUGAAGCCUUUGCCGGUAACAACAGUAUCAGCGGAGUCAACUUGCGGUAUAAGCCGCGGGUAUAUUACACGAGCAACGGCACAUACGCUGCGACUGCGGGCGCUGAGCUCCUCUACUUUUGUGGUGGCCGCACGCCCGCCCUGUCUGGCGUGACGCCGUUAUCUGCACCACCCGACGCUGGUGCAACCCUGUCGCUGACCUGGUACUUAUCGGGAGUUGGCACGCUAAACAACACUAUCACGGCACCGGCUGCCAAGAACGGCGCCAGCAAUGCCACGGUUGAGUUUGAGGUCGGGCCGACGGUGCUGCCCUGCCGCAACCCAGUUGUCACGGAUUUCAACAUCACCAGCACCACCUAUCGCGAGGCGAUUUCCUGCACCAUGCCUGCUUACAUGCCGGCCGCGACGUAUACGCUAUGGCUGUGCAUCCAGCCUUUUGGCUGCGGUCUUUUGCCUGCUUACACUGUACCCCUGACCAUCACUGCUAUGUCUGCAACUACUGGCGGGAGUGCUGGUGGUAUUACCGUGGUCAUUACCGGCAAGGGGUUCGAUACCAACACCACGCUUGUAUCGGUGCGCUUUGGCAACAGCACAUGCAAGGUCAUCAGCAGCACCGCUACAUCGCUGACCUGCGUUACCGGUCCCCUGGACACCAAGCCAGUGAGCCCAGUGACGUGGCCCUUGUCAAUUACGCCCACUGCCGGCACCAACGAGACCACCCUGUCGAGCUUCACUUUCACUUUUGACCCAGCCCUAGAGUCGACAGUGAGCGGCAUUGUCCCGGCGCGCGGCUCCACUGAAGGUGGCACACCCGUCACUAUUACGGGCGCAGACUUCCGUACCGGCGUGAGCACCACUGUCAGCAUUGGCGAUGUCGCUUGCCAGUCGGUUGUGGUCGUCAACAGCACCGCCAUCACCUGCACUACCGGUAAGCCGCCCAACAGCAUCCUUCGAGUUCCGCUGCCGGUGACGGUGCUGCAGCAGGGCCGUGGCUAUGCACGCAGCUCGGCUCAGUACCAGUACAUCGACGUGUGGAGCCGCAACAGCACGUGGGGUGGUGGACCCCUGCCCGGCUACGAGGACUCGGUCGUAAUUCCAGCUGGCGUGACGGUCCUCCUGGAUAUCAGCCCGCCGAAACUUUUCAUCAUUGUCUUGGAAGGCAACCUGGUUUUCGAUGAUACCAAGGACUACAUUAACCUGCAGGCUCACUACAUCAUUGUUAAAGGGGGCAAUUUCACCAUUGGUAGCGCAGAGAAGCCCUACCCCGGCCGCGCCAACAUUACCAUGCAUGGGGCCCCAAAUAGCAGGGAUCUUCCGAUGUAUGGCGCCAAGGCACUGGCCGUGCGGCAAGGCGUCGUCACCUUCUUCGGGCAGCCCAAGAUCCCGCAUUAUACCAAGCUGAACCGGACGGCGGAUCCAGGGGACACCAGCAUUGUCGUCAACGGAGCAAUUAAUUGGCAGGUACGACUAAGGGGGGCUGAAAUAAUUGCAAUUCUCCAAUUCUUACACCAUAAUUGUAAUGGUAAGGAAUCUGUCCUCAGUAUUGAGCAGUACGUAGUCACAUUGCUUUGCUCUAUGUGGGGCUUUCUGAAUAUCAGGCGUUAUGCUUGCGCUAUGGCUUGAUGUACAUAUGCCAAUCCCUCAUGAAAUUCAGGUUGGCGACCGCAUCGUCAUCGCCAGCAGCAGCUUCUACGGGAGUGAGGUGGAUGAGGCAACCAUCACAGCGCUCGACAACAGGACCGUAUCUGGCUGUACCGUCAUUACGCUAGACACGCCACUUCAAUACGUGCACUUGGGAGAGCUGCACAGCGUGCAGGGAACUAAACCCCUGGACAUGCGCGCUGAGGUGGCCGUGCUCACACGUAACAUUUUGCUGCAGGGUGAUUACACCAGCGCCAAGAAUAUGUAUGGCGUGCAGGUCAUGGUUAAUUCGCCCAAAUACCUGCCCCGCGCACUUGUUCGCUUUGACAACAUCGAGAUCACCCAGUCUGGCCAGGCGUUCCGCCUGGGACGCUACUCCAUGCACUGGCACAUGCACGGCGAUGUCGCGUAUCAGUCAUGGUUGCGCGGCUGCGCUAUCCACCACACAUACAACCGUGCCACCACUAUCCACGGCACACAUCGCGCAAUCCUGCAAAAUAAUGUGGCCUACAACACCAUGGGUCACACCUUCUUCCUGGAGGUGAGCUGUGGCCUGGUUAGUUGUCAGGGGAUAGGAUUCUUCUUUCUAUUAUUGCCUUGAAUGGUUUUUUGUGCUUUGCGCUUUUUUUUGCUGUGGCCGGAGUUUUGGUUAGUGAAACGGAGGACGCUAUGUACUGCAGGACGGUAUUGAGUCUGGCAACCUCAUUGAAGGCAACCUGGCCAUUCAUGUCAAAGUAUCAGACGCGCUGCUCAACACCGAUACCACCCCAGCCGCUUUCUGGAUUACCAAUCCAAACAACACAGUGCGCAACAACGUGGCUGCUGGUUCGGCGGCUUAUGGGUAUUGGUAUCGCAUGCUGGUAAGCCCACAGCGUUCACAUGCAUUUGCCGGAGACCUUUCUUGGCUUUCCAGCAAGGGGUAGCCCAGUUUUGCAUUGUCAUAAAUGUUGCUUCUACUGAUACCAUUAUUAUUUGCAUCUCCGCAAGUUCUCCUAAUCACGGAAUCCGUUAUUUGCUACUGUUCAUUUUACAGGAUAAUCCCGAGGGCCCGUCAUACACGACGACCAUCUGCCCCAAGUUUACACCCCUCCUAGAGUUCACCAACAACACCGCCCACUCGAGCAUGUUUUACGGACUGCGUAUCCAUCCAGAGUUCUACCCCCGUAACAUCCCGUGCAACGGGUUUUCUGGAACGUUUGAGCAAGUGCCUGCGGUGUUCAACGGCCUGGUGGCCUAUAAGAACGGCAUGAAGGGCGCCGUCGGCACUCAGGUACGCUGCUCAAUCCAGGAUUGGUGGCUCCCUAUGUCGUUUUUUGCCAUGGACGGCAUUGGCAUGCAUUUUUAUUAUUUGCAUCCAUAACUGCUAAAUAAGGAGCGACGAGGUGUUCCUUAUGCCUGCACGCACUCAUACAGGUUGGCUUGGUGCAGCUUGUCAACGUGAUAACAGGCGAUAACGGUGGUGGGCCCAAGCAGCACGUUGUCAACGGCAAGGACCAUGGUGGCGAUCUUGAAUUGUCAUGGGUGGUCGACGACCGCAGCCGUGUGGGGUUACAGAUCACAGAGAUGGCCGGUAUCGUGAAUGCUACCAUUUACGCGCGCACCAGUGUUGGAAAGCGCGGUAAUGCUGGUCAGUGGCCCUCAUGCCGCCGUGUGGCGGGUAUCAUUACACAGAGUCCCGUCCUAGGCGACUCGAAGCACUCUGCAUUAAUGAGCCUAAUCAACGUAACAUUUGUGGACUUCAAGGGCUGGGAUGACUGCACGCUAUUCUCCAUGUUGGAGGCAUGCGGCAAGUGCAAGACCUUCCAGGGCGGCUCUACCACAUUCACAGCCAACAUCUCUAUCAUCACAUCAGACAACAGCAGCUCCAUGAUGUCAUACUGGAGCUGGGGCCACCAGGGCGUCUACCUUGACACAGACGGCACGUUACUGAACAACAAGUCGCUGCCCGCUUCGCUCUUGCCUAAUGUGGGCACCAACGUAACUCUUGGCCCCGGGGCUACCUGGCAUUCGUCGGUCGAAAGCGAGCUGUUUGAUCCCAACGAAUGCAAGUAUGUGCGGAACACACGCACAAGCAACAACGGAGCAUAUUGCAGCCCCGGCUUGUCGUUCCGCCGCGUGAUGCUUCACGGCCACACCCCCGAGGUAUGUUGAAUGGAAGCACCGCACAACAGGUGCGCUCAAUGUGCAGGUUAGGUUGCACCCUGACAAUAUAAUUUUCCCGCGGGAGCCUGUCGUCACACCUUCCUAUGUGCAUGCGUUGGAGCUCAACCUGGACGAGGGAAGCUUGCCUCAUCACCUUUUCCUGCCUUCAACCCACCUUGCACUUUCCGCCGCCUGCACGCAGUCCAUCAUGUUCAAGGACCUCAUCCUUACUUCGUUGGCCACCAAUCGCACAUCUCUUGUGCACUUCACCAAGUAUAACGAGAACGGUUACCAGUUCACUGUCGCCACUACCCGCGACUAUUGGGUGCAAUGGGACAUGCCUUUCCGUUUCGACCCCGACACAUACCAGUAAGCAGGGCAGGGUGAAAGGAAGCCCGGCAUGGUAGAUUGGGUUGGGCUCUGUGGAUUAUGUGCUGUGUCAGUACGUUGCUUAGACCUUUUGGGGACAGGUUGCUGAGUCACCUGCUGGGAGUUGUACAUGGGGUAACCCGGGUGAAACCCUCCCUUCCAUUGAACCUCGAACCAUGUUUCCAUGGCCAUCUUAAGUCUCGUUGGGUACUGCACGUGAGGUAUCGUACGUGAACAUCUUCCAUCGGCGUAACUAAUUUUUUACGUGGGGUAACAUACCUGAAAACCUUCCUACAUCAAACUGAGAUUUCAUGAGGGUAUCGUACGUGAACAUCUUCCAUCGGCAUAACUAACUGGUUACCCUCCAACCCGAUGACCACCUUUCUCCAGGCUGCACAAGAUGGACUUGAUGAACACGAGUGACUACGUGUACAUUACCACAAAGCACAUUCAGGUCAAGGACCACUUCACAAUCAAUAACAACGACCAGUGGAACAACUUGACCGCGAUGCCGCCUCCCACCAACUCAACCCACGGCAUGUUCUACUACAACAAAACCAAGGCGCCUAAUUCCUGGUGGUGGAGUAACCGCACCUAUAACGACACCAAGUUUACAGUCUUUUUAGAUGGGCGCCUCGACACCACCCUCGACAUGAAGGCAUUCACCUGCCCUAACACAGGCUGCAGCAAUGUACCCGAUGCCGUUGUGGACAUCCGCGACGGCACAUUGUACUGGUCUAACACGAGCACCUGGAACACGAGCGCCGUGAACAACUUCCGCAAACCAGUAGCUGGCGACAAUGUGACCAUUCCGUACGGCUGGGACCUGGUCAUUGACGAGUCACCACCGCCGCUGCUGGCGCUGACCGUUCAGGGCAAUUUACGCUUUGACACCACGCGGGACAUCAACCUGACCGCUACCUAUAUUAUUGUCAUGGGCCAGGGUGUGCUGAGCGCUGGCAGCGCCACGGAGCCGCACCCCGCCAAGGCCACUAUUCGGCUGAACGGUGCUCGCGACACACCCGAUUAUGGCAUUGAUAAUAACCUUAACUUGGGCUCCAAGGUGCUGGCAGCUCUUUCAGGAGGCACAAUCAACCUGUACGGCAAACCGGUAGGUGCAUGAUAGUCACAUUGGUUCGUUGGCUGAACAAGAGCCGCCAUCCACCUGCUGCAUUGUUUGGGGCUUUUCCAGCUGAUAUCCGGCUUACCGCUUCUUCCCUUAGUGCGUGUCAUAACCUUGUGUGCUCUGUGGAUGCAGGCCCGUAAGCGCUGGAUCAAGUUAGGAUCCGCGGCACAGAUUGGCAACAAUGCCAUUAAUGUAUCGGACCCCAACCACGGCUGGAGUGUCGGUGAUAAGAUCCUGAUUACCUCCACCUCGUUUAACUGGAAUCAAAGCGAGUUCCGCAUCAUCACUGGGAUCCGCAACAACGGCUCCCAGCUGCUGCUGGACUCGCCGCUGGCCCACCCCCAUGGGGCGCGGGUCAAAGCUUAUCCCGGCGGCCCCACCGUGGAUAUGCGCGCGGAGGUUGGCCUGGUCUCUUCCAACGUCCUCAUUACUGCGGAUGAUGGCGAGAGUACCCACUCGUAUGAUGGAGAAAUGUUCGGUGCACGCGUAGUGGUUUCGGGCAACUCCACAGGCCGCUUUGACAGUAUGGGUAUGGCUUAUUGCGGCCAGGCUGGCUUUGACGAUCGCGCGUGCAUAUACUUUGACCGCAUGGCGCCAGUUACAGUGCUGCGUACGGACAAUGUCACCAACAUGACAACGCUAUCCGCAAUUCCAAAUCCAUCAUUUGUUAAAGGCAGCGUGCUGCUGUAUGGUAUGGCCUCGAACGUGCUCAUUAAUGGCAAGCCCUCAGUUGCGAACCCAGUCACCCUGGCCGACAACAUCAUGUACGAGGCGUAUGACACACACAGCGUGGAUGUGUAUACGACGUAAGUAGUGUUUGGCUGUAGGAGGGGCCAGGGUCCGAUACCCCAAUUCUCCAAAAGUUCCAAAUGAUGAGGGGAGGCCGGGGAUAUGCUUUGGUAUGCUGGUUGGCUGGGAAAGGAAUAGUAGAAGCAUGACUACAUGCCCUGCUUCCCUUGCAUUACAGGGGCAACAUAAUCCGUGGCAACUUGGUAAUCGGCACAAUCAAGGAUAUGACGGGCAAGAGUCACUUUGAUAUUAUGAUGCCAUCGUCAUUCAGCAUCUUAUACGCAUCUAACUGGGUCACUGACAACGUGGCAGCUGGUUCGGAACGCUACGGCUUUGCGUAUUACGGUUUACCGUGCGGCAACUUCACAAAUGGCUCCUUCCGCAACAACACGGCCCAUUCAUCCCUUGCCGGCCUGUGGUUUCAAGCCAGUCCCGAGGCACUCAUCCAGGGUUGUGCACAGUUGACGAACUUCACCACAUACAUGAACUGGGGUAAGUGCAAGGCUGAGCAUCGGCCAGCUGGUGAGGAAAGGCGAUCAUCAGCGUCCCAGUUUUACUCAAUGUCUAUGAAAUGCCAUAGGAUGCUGCAUGUUGCCACUUUAGGAUGCUGCAUGUUGUCAUUCCUCUUGCCACUUUGCUUGACAGAUUUCGGCAUCAUCUCCACACGUGGCGUUUCGACGGACAUUGUCCUGAAGGACGUCAAUAUCCUGGACAACAAGCACGCGGGCAUCCAUCUAAUGCGUUAUGGUGAAAUGACCGACAAGGGCUGGAUGCGCUGGGACGGUGGCCUCCUUGUUGGCCAGUCGAGCAAUGAUGUCUGCUCUGCCUGCACGAAGCGAAGUGACCCUGGCUGCCACCCCAAAUUGUCCACCCAGUCAUUCAAUCAGUACGACCCCUUCACACCAGCAGUUGGCCUGCAGUCGUCACAGUUUGCACUGGGAUUUGCGGUGGGCCCCGAGAAGAAGCCGUACGACAAGCCUAUGGGCUACUCACUAAUCCAUGUGAGUCAUGGAAAGGUUGGGGCGACAACACUGCGCCUUCCUGUGCUUCACUCGCUAGGAAUAGCUUUGGCAACGGCUUGGCACGGUGUUUCAGUUGUCUCAGGGCCAGACUGUCUGAUGCCUAUGGCUUCUCAGGCAAACCCCUUCACUAACCACGGACCUCAAACCACAGGGCAUGUUCAACAUCAGCGGUAUCACCUUGGCGGACUUUCUGGGCCCCGCGGGCUGCGGAGGCUCACAAAGCGGCACUUAUGCGUUGGCGAACCAGCCUAAGGCGCCAGAAGCUUUCUAUCCGCACUAUUUCUCCAAAAUUAACGUCCAAAACGUCGGCAUCGGGUAAGUCGGAUGGCAAACCGGACUCUAGCGGACUUUGCUUGGCCUGUGGAUUUCGGUAGUUGCAGUAAUUGCAACAGGCAAGCUUACACCCUGAACUAUAGCCCCACCAGCUAUGCACACACGGAACGCAUGGCAACAUCCAUAAGAACGCCGCCUUGGCCCCAUGCCCCCUACCUGCCCUUCACCCAUGACCCAUCUCUCUGCAGGGUGAGCCAGGGAAUGUUUUAUCACACCCCGCCCGACCCUGACUGGCGCAACGAGGCGGACUGUGGAGAGGCGGCCUAUACGCGGCCCGACGGCUCCCAGAUCAUGCUUAACUGUGCCGGUCCGGCACACGCCUACUGGCGGGAUCUGGAUGGCUCACUUACCGGCACCGUCAGCACCACCGCAGGCAUCUUCACGUCCAAACGCGUGUUCCCAAUGGAUCAGGGCUCACCCGUGCUGCCUGGGGCAUGCACAUACUCUGCGUAUCAGGAUUCGUAUCAGUGCGUCGUUAACUCGACCUCAUACAUAGCGGAGACCGGCCUAGAUCCGAGAUACAAGCCUAACCCUGUGCCAGCAGAUGGCAUUUGGGGCGACCCGCAGAUGCUAGUGCUCGAGAGCCGUGACAAAGACACUGAGGACCGCAACUUUGGCCCUGUAUUCUUCAACGUGUCUGGCUCAAUCGACCUGGUGACGGCAGCCAUGGAUCAUGGCUGGUGCUUUGCGUACACAUGUCAGAAGCGGCUGUCAACCUUCUGGACCUACGUGCCAACUGGGCAGACAGUGUACAUCAACUUUACCGGCACACCUUCGCAGAACUUCCGCAUCUGGUUUCCCUACGCAGACCCGGACAAGGAAAUUGUCUUGGUUAUCAAUAUGCUCUACACCCUUAACCGUCGCUUCACCUGGCUGCCGCCUGGUAAUGGCAACACCACGGGCCGAGUGAUGCCAUGGGACAAGCCUAUAAGAAUUGGUGAUGGCACACCUCACGGGUCGUACUUCUGGGACCAAGAUAACACGCUGCUGUAUGUGAAGAUCAAGGGUGGCAUGACGGUUGAGACACGCACUGAGAGCGCUGUGAUGGUGAGUGGGGCCCAGGACAUGCUGUGGGGCAUGCUGGAUCACAGGGUAGCAGGUUGUGUACACCAGGGCUGGCUCUCGCUUUUGCUGGAUUGCACCUGGCUAGGUUGGGUGCUAGGCAGGUAAGUUAUAUCACUUCAUGCAAAUGUAGUCCUCGAGAUUUGCCUGGGUCGGGAGGAUGCAACGGGUACAAUGGGUUUCACUGCUGCAGUGCGGCAGCCAUGGAGCAGCCUGCAGCCUGACUGGUUCUAACGACUGGGUCCGCAAAUGAUGAUGUUAUGUAUCGCAGGUUUCACAGUCUUUCGCUGUAACGAUUGACAACUUCUACGCACAGCAGGCGGUCUUCCUGAAGAACCUCGCAGCUGUAAUGGGUAUUGAUAUGAACCGUCUCUAUGUGGCGAAGAUUGUGGCCGGCUCCGUAAGCGCCACGAUUGGUGUUGAGCCCGAUAAGUCCAUUCCCGUCGACGCGCUGCCGGAGAACUCAGUGUCGGCCGCUGUGGAUCCCACUGACCCUGUCGUCACUAACCCAGCAGCCGCCGCAGUCACCUCCACCACAUCAUCAUCCACAUCACCACCGCCCCCACCACCAUUGACCUCAUCCUCGGCUGUACUUGCCGACUUGACUGCAGCAUACAAUGCUUUUGUAGCAGCGGUCACGGAUCCAAAUGCAAGCAGCAACCUUGGCUUUCAGCCCAUUGGCGUGCCGACAGCAGACUGGAGCAAUGUCGGAGUUGCUGCUUCACCCCCUCCGCCGCUUAUGUCUUCCGGGGCCAAUUCACCGUCGGGUGGUGUCACCCUCAGUCCACCACCACCGCUCAUUUUACCCAACACGGAGGCUGCACCAGCCGGUGGCGGUAGCGGUGGAAGCAGUACUGGUAGCGGUGGAAGCAGUACUGGUAGCGGUGGAAGCAGUAUAGGUAGCGGUGGAAGCAGCAGCAACACUGGAAGCGGGAGCAACAAUAGGGGCUGGGCCCUUAGCUCCGCGGCUGUUGUGGGCAUUGCAGUCGGCAUGGUUGGAGGUUGUAUUUUCGUAGCAGCAGUUGUGGCUGUCAUUGUGGUUCGGCGUCAUGCUAAGCGGCCCCGGCCCGUGUUGCCACGUGGUUCACUGAGUACCGGUGAGGUCAGCAGCUCCAUGUCGCCAGCUCCAGCGGCCGGCCGGCCUGGCAGUGCGAAUACACGCCAGGCCUUCGUGUUGACCAACCCCGCCUAUGAGACGCCUGGAGAGCGUGCCGCAGCUUUACGCGUCAGCCGCACUGCGGUACCCGUGCAGGAGUCGGAGGAGAACCCCACUUCGCCGCGUGCCAGCGUGUUGGCCGCCGGACCAACCCCCCUGAGCCCAGCGCAGUUUAUCGGUCCACUCACCUCCACUGCCCGUAUGCCACAUAGCAGCCUACCGCUUGUUCCACCAGGUGCACAGUCGGGCGCAGUCGACGCUGUGGAAGGGGAGGCCAUGUUGGCCCCGGAUGCAUCUGUCAGUGUGGCAGCCGCUGCCAGUGGCGCCAUCGCGACCACUGCCAGUGGCUCAGUUGGUGGCUCGCGCUCACCAGCACAGCUGACACCUGGCCAGCCAACCACCCGCCGCCCUUCAGACACCACCAUGAAGUAUGCACCGAACAUGGCCACUGGCAGCACUGUCUGGGAUGCGGACAGCGCGGAGAUUGAGCAAUUGCCAGAUCACGAUCAAACCAAGGCCGCCGCCGCCGCUGCUGGUAGCGGACCUGUCAGUCCUAAGGUUGCUGUGGAGGCUGCAGCGACCAGUGUGGGUGCCGGUGCUCCUGCUAGCGGCACGCCUGUUGAGACCUUGAACCGCUCCAUGGGCGUGUCUGAAUCGAUGUCGCCGCGCGUCAAGUCUGUUGGUGGCAGUAACGACAUUCGGGCGGGUGCAGAGCAGAUGUCUGGUAAUGGCGAUGAGGGCAGAAAGCGUGCAGCUGCCAUGGAGCCUCUGGAUCCUCAGCAGCAGAGGCCUGGCAGUGGCCGCCAGACAGAGCAGGCACCAGUCCUGAUGCUGCCGGGCGGUAUGAUGGAAUAUGUGGCCACGGCGUCGCUGCUGCGUAGUGAGGUGGCUUCACUAAUGGUGGCGGGUGGCGAGGCUGGCCCUGCAGUGACAGGUACUGGGGAGUCGGACAGCGCGAACACACCAAAGGCGCGCACGCCUGCUGGCUUGCAAAGCGACAGCAUGCGCCGCCGGGAGCAUUCCUGAAAUUGCUGGGAUGGGCCAAGGAUUUAGGAUGGGACGCCGUCCAUCAUGGACCAGGCUUGGCCAAUACUGGAAUGAGAGUGACGUUCAUACUCAUUUCCAGAUUUAUAACCGUUUUUUGCAUUCGGUUUUUGGCAUUGUGGAAGGCAGGCUCAUGUUAACUGAGUAUAUUGGCUUUGGACCCACGCGGGUCGUCGCCAAUCCGUUGGCGUCCGUUUGGAGUAUAUGCGCUUCGAAGGAGACGUUGCUCGGUUGAUUAGCUCGAUUUAGGAGAGGGAGCUGUCAUGUCUGUGUGUAGUUUCCUAUGUGUCAGAUGCAUAUGUGUCACAUGCGCAUGCGGCGUGACAUGAUGCAUGAUCCUCCAUCGCCGGUCUCGCACACACACGAAGACGAGAGGUCUUAUCUCGACAAUUGCUCAUGGAGAGGAACUGCCCGGAACUGUCUAACUAUUUUACUUUCGUAUUUGCGACGGUUGAGACAUGCUCUCUGCACAUUGGCCAUUGCCAAUCAGGACUCCCAUCAGGAUAGGCGCAAGCAGCAGGUUGCUUCAUGCCGCGGCGGUGCAGUCUUUUCGCCUCAUUGAUGCUGCGUGCAUACAAACGCGAAAUUGGCCUGCCUCCACCUGAGCGGGGAUUCCAACGGAAUGACUUGGGAUAUGGGAUCUGAAUCUUUUUAGCGGGGUCUGUAAGGGUCAGCGGACAUAUUGCAGGAGGUUAUGCCUUGGACAGCAGGUGUUGAUGUUUGUUGUUUAAAGGGGCUGGUAGGGUUAGAUACGUAGCUUUUCUUGUUGCUUGGUCAAGAAGAAAAGCAUGGCAUUGGUUGGACUUUGAUAAUCAUUCAUUUCCAAAAGCUCACAGCAAGGGUGAGUAUUGGAGUGUUGCUUCACUGGGGUAGUACUCUCUGUUCACUGGAUAGUUCGGCGUCCGGAAUCAUAUGCACUUACAGAUCUCCGCUCCCAACGCUGUGUGUUUCCAAGCAACUAGCCCCUCCCGGCACGCAUUGCAUCGCGCUUUAUAUUGCUGCCCGCCUGCACCACUUGCUGGUGCCCUUUCGCUGCUCUUGUAGUGGAUAGGCCUUGCGCCUUUUCCCCGGAGCUCACGCCGCUUUGCUUAGUGUUCACUAUGAGUACGUUACUGAACUAAACAUUUAGUUUAAUCGACCUGCGCACUAUAGCGCGCACACACAGAUCUGGUCCUCGUGAACUUCAAAUGUUGGGCUUGAACAAUUGCUCGUGACGGCAAGCCCGGCAUGUCUGAGGGGCGCCGCUGCGGCUUUGCUGAAGGUACCAACGUUUCUAUUUAUUACACGCUAAGGGUUCCCGCUGCAAUACUGCGGGGCUUGAGCAAUGGCCUCUAUCGGUUUGCUGUGCUUGUUAAGUUUUUUUAUUGGUUGCGACGAAAUGUGCUAUCCGUUCAUGCGUGCGUUUUUGCACAUCCGUUCAUGCUGACAUGUACAUAUGUGUCUUUACGCGUGGUGGCAUCGGCUGAAGAUAGGGUCGCUUGCAAUGGCGACUUCCCAGAUAAUGCUCAUGCAGGUGUUUCGGCCCGCGCCUGGCCCAGCGAAAGCGCCAUAGGCAUGUCACUGCCGGCCAACUAACGACGGCCAAUAUUGUAUGUAAUCCGGUUACCGUCUUGCUUUGUCCGGCCAGUUAACAAACAUGCCGGUGCACCGGUAGUGAGCAUGCUCAGGCUAAUGGCCGGUGCACCGGUAAAUUACGUGUUCAGCUUGCUCCACCGUGCUCAAGGCCUAAUCGAUUAGAGGCAUCGAACAUGCCGGUGCACAUGUAGUGAGCAUGCUCAGGUUAAUGCCUGGUGUGUGUGGUUGUUAUAGUGGGCCCCAGACUCGUGAAGAGUAGAGCCUGAGGCCCAGCACGAUCAGAGCAGUCAAGACACUCGCCCAGACCAGACAACGCAGGCCACCCAGACAACAGAAAGCGAACCCAAAGGGUAAGCUCAGAAGCCCACGAUCACCUAAGUUUGCUAUUGAACUCCCUAGCUAGCGAAAGGCUGCGGACCUCCAUUAGUGUUGUAUCACAUCUUAAGAACCGAUCGGCAGAUGCUAGAUCCCGUGAUACCCAGGAUACUUCAAUUAACCCUCCUCCAGAGUUGAAGGAGUCCUCGACCGUCCGUCUCUUAGGGCACUUGUGUGAUGUCAGUAACCACAGGACACCAGCGGCAGCAGGCCGGAUUGAGAGUCGACCCCAGGUCGGGUUUGGGAUACCGAGUCUCGAUACCAAUUUGUUGUAUCACGUCUUAUCGCAGGAAAAGAACCGAUCGGCGGAUGUUUGAUCCCGUGAUACCCAGAAUACUACAACUAGAAGGCCCACCAAUAAAUAUUGGCAGGUAUUUGCACGUUGUUACUAGAUGAUGUCUUUGCCCCAAAAGCCCCAAAAAUGAAAGGAGCCGAAAUAAGGGAGCGGAUGAGCUAAUGGAUAAUCGUCCAUCGGUGCCCCUCUUGUGAACGAACAAUUAUCCGACACAAUUCGCAAGAGGUGAUGUGACCCUACCUUUUCCAUGGAACUUCCAGAGCUGUAAAACCCCGAAGGCGGGCUCGACGGGCCCCAGAAAGAGGUGAAAGUUGCAUUUUAUUUAAGGUCUCAGAAUUUAAAAGAGGAGUAUUAUGAACGUAAUUGCUAAUUCCUCAGUUACAACGCAGGUUACAACCAUAUUUCUCUUAAAUCCUUCGAGGUGAUUACCUUCGUUUGGGUCUUCAGUAAAUUGUAGCUUAGAUGCGGCAGGAGCAAAGCGAGUAGAGCCUCUAAGCUAGGUUAUGUACGGCAGCCGUAUGGCUUGCUGAGAUUUCGAAUUUACUAUUUCAGCUGACAACUCCAUAGUUCCGGCAUUCUGCCUACACUAUUGGAGCUUAUUAUUGUUGCUCUCACUUCCCUUCCCCCGCCCUUAGUGUCCCUCGUUUACAAGCGGCAGGCUCGGCCCAGUUGGAGACCUGGGAUUAGGCAGCCCCCUCGGAGUGCCAGACGCACAGCUGUACAGUGAUUACCGCACGGCAAAAAAGUGCCUUUAGAGUAUCGCUGUGCGCUAGGAAUGUCGCCUGGCAAGCCCCGCUGGCCAGGAUGUGGUUCGUGUGUUGCUGACACUUCAGGUUUGCCCUCGGGGCGGGUGACCAAUGGACGCAGUUAUUAAUGCUGCGUUUAGUUGUCUAGUGCUGUGUGUCAGUUUUUCGGCCGUGCCGGUGUGGCCGCGCUGGACAGCGCUGCGUGCGCUCAGACCGCGCCAUGUGGCGCUAGACCGCGCUUCGGUGCACAUGCGCCCUGGUGCUCCGAGAGCAGCAGUAGUACUGCAGUAGUGUAAGGCCCUUGGCAGCCCCGGUUUUGCCUCGUCCUGUCCUAUCCGGCACCCUGAACGCAACCGUACAGCAAGCCAUGAAGGCUAUAGGACAUAAUGCUAUAUUAUCACCAAGGUUGAUAUGGGAGCAGUGCAAGGGUUAGUCGUUUUGGAUUCCAGGUACUGGGAGAUGAAGGUGGACAGGGUCGAUGUAGGCGGGACCAUCCAGACACACUCGCCAUCGACUUGGGCCGACAGAAAGGAGCGAGACGGUGAGAAGAAGGGAACGACGUGGGUGUUGAUACCGAAGUCGUCGCAGCAGGCGUCAACGGUGAAGGGGCCAUACUGUGAGUCAAGAUCGAGGAAGACGGUGCAUGAAAGCAUCCAGUCGCUGUCCACCCGGUGCGCUUCCGCCGUGGAGGCUGCUGCAACACGAGCAUGCAUACAACCUACAUGGCGGGCAGGCUUACUGGCGAUCUGGGUUAGGCGCAAAACAUUGAACGGCGGCGGCGGCAGGGUGUCAGACUCGGCUGACCGUUGCACAGCAAAACGCACCGGCAUGCUGUGGCUAACCUGUUCUGCUGGUGGUGGCUUAAAGGCCACGUUAACGGGGAUGGGGAGAGCGGUGGCGGGUUGGGUCAGCGCGGCGGUGCUGGUCAUCAUGGCGAGGGUGGGGGCUGUCUGAACGGGAGGGAAAGGUGUGUCCGCGGUCGUUGUCCUGACAAUGGUGGGUGGAGUUGUCAGUGUGAGCCGGGGAGCGGGAGGGGGAGCGGGAAGGAGAGCGGCUUGCGGUUCGGGAGGUGGUGGAGCGAAAGGGUGAGUGGUCGGUGGGGACGUUGAUGGUGCGGAUGCCCUGCGGUAGCGAAUGUGGUGAGCGGUGAGCGGCAUCACGCUCCAUUGAAAUGGUGCACGCGAGGUCGAUCACAUCCUGUAGUCGUAUGUAGGAACCCAGGUUGCAUAAGCGCGAGAAGAUCUCCUUCCUGAGGUCGUCCUGCAGUCCUCGUGCGAAGAAGAGGACGUGGUCUUUCUCGUGGCGGUACGGCAGGUCGGCCAUAAGGUGUUUGAAUUCCGCAAUGUAACAUUGUAAAGAGUUUGGUCCAGAACCCUGCGCCAAGGCAAACAUAGCAAGCUGCGUUUGAGAGGGUCCCGUGGUGGGGACGGGAGCCAUCAGAGGAUGACGGAGACGAAGAUGAUGAAGACGACGAUGACGAAGACGACGACGAUGUCGAAGAUGAUGAUGACGAAGAUGACCAGCAAAGCAAAGCGAAGCAAAGCGAAGCGAAGCGAUGACGACGAAGACGAAGGCGGAGCGAAGCGUAUAGGCCGGAUCGUCUAGAUCGAUACCAACUGAAAGGGAAUAGGCUCCGUUUCUCGUUGGGAUGUCACAAAUGUUACAACGAGGGCCGAGCGACGUAAGCCUGCUAAUCCUGCACAAGAUGUAAUAACGAUGACAUAACAAUCUAAACAACACAACGAGUUAAAUAGUUAUCCAGAGCCUAGGCGGCGCCGGAAGGUCGUACAUUAUCCAUAUUCCAAAUGCUUGUCCACGAGUAAAGUUAACGACUUAACAACUAACGAGAAAACCUAACAGAUAUAAUAUAAAAUAUAUACUGGUUUCUUCACCAUACAAUAAAUGUAAUGAAAUACCGUACUGCUACGAAUGUUUCGCGCCACACCUUUCGUUUUGGGCCACGAAGUGUGUCACAGUGGAAAAAGCUCUAUGGGGAAAAUUAUUUACUUGUCGCGAAAAUGUCUGGCACGAAUGUGUUGUACGCCGUGUACAUGGUGUAGAAUCGGGGCGUUUGGUAAACCGCACCUGACUUUGGUGCCGCACCAACGGGCCUGUCUUCUGUUCUUCUGCGUAAACAUAUAGUAAACGAUAUGUCCAGCAGUUUGGGAGCUUUGACGCUGUCGCUCCUUGUUGUGGCUUCCCUGGAGCCCCGCGAAAUGUGUGUUCAUGUAAACAAAUGUGUGCCAUAAAAACUGACAGCCCUCGCGAAUUGGUGUAACAAAACGAAAAAUUCCAGCUAUAUUUUUGGGGUACCCGCGAAAGGUGUGGCACGAAACAUUCGUAGCAGUACGGUAUGCUUAGCGCAUAACUAACGUUAGUUUUAGGGUGCAUUUCCAGUGCACGUGGGAUUAGGGCACGGAAGUCCUUGGUACGAGCUUACCACAUAGUUUUGUUCCAUAAGGGAGCCAAAGGUUGAAAAGGCGAGGUAAGUUUGCCAACAACUUAGCCGUUUAAGCAAGUAUCGAUAGAGGACAGAGGGUUAAUCCCUGGCCUUAAUCCGCACUGGAAAUGCACCCUUAAAUAAAGCAUCAGUGGCUCUAAAUGGCAGCUGCUCAAAAAGACAGUAAGUGUUUUGAGGCUCUUAAAACCGCUACGUAUCAAUAAUUAGUUGUUGCUCCAUAGGUAAAUGCCAUUUUCUGUUACAGAAAUGAGACACAGGAAGGCCCGAAGAAGACGGGCCGAAACACAACAGAGAAAGAGACACCGCAACACAACUAACGCGGGCUGCACUAACAAAGGGUGGGAGGGCGGGCGCGUGUUGAACAACAAAAACAAGCCCUAUGGCAUAAACAUGCCGGUUACCGACCGUUUGGGGCCCAUUAACCCAACCGNNNNNNNNNNNNNNNNNNNNNNNNNNNNNNNNNNNNNNNNNNNNNNNNNNGACGAAGAUGAUGAAGACGACGAUGACGAAGACGACGACGAUGUCGAAGAUGAUGAUGACGAAGAUGACCAGCAAAGCAAAGCGAAGCAAAGCGAAGCGAAGCGAUGACGACGAAGACGAAGGCGGAGCGAAGCGUAUAGGCCGGAUCGUCUAGAUCGAUACCAACUGAAAGGGAAUAGGCUCCGUUUCUCGUUGGGAUGUCACAAAUGUUACAACGAGGGCCGAGCGACGUAAGCCUGCUAAUCCUGCACAAGAUGUAAUAACGAUGACAUAACAAUCUAAACAACACAACGAGUUAAAUAGUUAUCCAGAGCCUAGGCGGCGCCGGAAGGUCGUACAUUAUCCAUAUUCCAAAUGCUUGUCCACGAGUAAAGUUAACGACUUAACAACUAACGAGAAAACCUAACAGAUAUAAUAUAAAAUAUAUACUGGUUUCUUCACCAUACAAUAAAUGUAAUGAAAUACCGUACUGCUACGAAUGUUUCGCGCCACACCUUUCGUUUUGGGCCACGAAGUGUGUCACAGUGGAAAAAGCUCUAUGGGGAAAAUUAUUUACUUGUCGCGAAAAUGUCUGGCACGAAUGUGUUGUACGCCGUGUACAUGGUGUAGAAUCGGGGCGUUUGGUAAACCGCACCUGACUUUGGUGCCGCACCAACGGGCCUGUCUUCUGUUCUUCUGCGUAAACAUAUAGUAAACGAUAUGUCCAGCAGUUUGGGAGCUUUGACGCUGUCGCUCCUUGUUGUGGCUUCCCUGGAGCCCCGCGAAAUGUGUGUUCAUGUAAACAAAUGUGUGCCAUAAAAACUGACAGCCCUCGCGAAUUGGUGUAACAAAACGAAAAAUUCCAGCUAUAUUUUUGGGGUACCCGCGAAAGGUGUGGCACGAAACAUUCGNNNNNNNNNNNNNNNNNNNNNNNNNNNNNNNNNNNNNNNNNNNNNNNNNNUCGGCACAAUGUUUUGCCUCAUUGCGAUGUUGCCUGAAAAUUUUGAACAGAAGGGAUCACUGCUCAUGCUGGUGCAGCAAGACAUGUAAGGAGAUGGCCUGGUCACAAUCCAGCAGUCAUAUAUCGACAAUCUCAAGCUAUGACAACUCGUUACAUGUGUCUGUAAUAAAAAAGGGACUUUGCGAUGGUGUGGGGAGCUCUUUGAGUGGUGGGACUGUGGAAAUCCAGUUUGUUUCGCCCGUAACAAGUUUGUUACGGGCGAAACAACGUCCCUCUGAAACGUUUGGAUAUGCCUAUGCAACACAUUUCCUCAAUUUCAUGAACUGCAAGUAUUCUAAUCCAACAUCACCCCAAUCUCAGUGUAAACUAGUCUCCAAAUGUGCCUGCACAAGACUGUCACCCCUGUCACCCGGCAUUCACAUUGCCUUAACCUCCUAAGCUUGUCGGGGUGUGACACGUGGGCAUGAACCUUGUGACAAUGGGCAUUGUCACAAAGAAACUGGUUGCAAUCAGAAAUGCAUUUUUCCUCAUGCCAGGUUACCGACAUCGGUUACCGAUUACUGGGGACGGUUAACGGAUAACGGUUCGCUCGGUAAUCCUACCGACCGGUUACCCAUCUCGUUAACUGGACCCGUUAGGUCGGAACCGGGCCGGAACCGGCCUGGAGUAUGCCAUUGGGAAGAUAAGCUAACCAGCCAAACGCGCGCAUAAAUGACGGCCCUGAGGACACGAGCCGUUGCGAGACAGCUAGACUAACAGUCACGCAUUGGGCCUUACGCCCAACUAACCCAGCUUAAGGCAAGCUCGCAUUAAAAAGCCAAGUCAAAACUUGGAUGAACUGAUUUCAAGGUUGUUUAUACCAUUCAAUAUUUUAUUAUAUUUAUUCAUGCAAUUCAGGAAACAUCAAAAAGGCUACGUAUUUCAAUAAAGUUCUAGUACCGGUUACAAUUAAUGUACAAAAGCAAUUUUUUUAUUGACAACACAAAAUAUAUGAUCAAUAUCUGAUAACCAGCGUAGCAGCAGCAUAAUUAUCUUUUGUCUGGAAUUCUGUAAUACCAUUUUUGACGUUUAAAUAUAUACCAUUUAAAUUAUAGCGGGUUUCUAGUUUUUCCUGGUAAUGAGAUAAAAUAGUGUUUUGGGGGCCCCUCUACUCCAUCGCAAACCUAACCUCGCCACCAGGGUUUGGGUAACAGACUCAGUGGACGCCAUAUAGCAGCUAUGUAUGAUGCAUCAUACAUAGCUGCUCCGAAUUCUGCACUGAGGGGCAACAAAAAACUAGCCGCCUGUCGCCAGUCUGCUGGGAGAGCGCCAAUAGCACUAUACCCUUUGUGCCUUUUGCAAGUGGAAUGAUGAGUAUAGAGAUAUAUGAGCAUUUGAUAGCAACAAGCCUAAGACAUCACAGGCCUGCUGGUUCAUCACCCGGAGAUGCAACUCCAGCGACAAAAUGUGGGCGGGGAAGGUGCUGGGCUUGUACCGCUACAGGUCGCCAUUGAACAGGGAUAAGUUCGAUGUGGUGCUGGAGGUCGAAUGGCAUGCUCCCCUGCUGGGGAACAACAGUGAUGCCGAAGUUGCAGUCAACCAGUUCAUGAAUGUCCCCUUGGUGGACACCAGGGCUGCCAGUGUGUCCAACACAGGCUCUCGUUACUACCUGGCUGAGGAUGUUGCGCCUUGCCGAGUGCACAUCUUGCCACACCCCAGUAAGCGGGCGCCCUGUGUGUUCUUUCAAGAAGCUACAGCUUCAUGCGGGUGGCUGGCUGGGAGGCCCUGCAGCCGCAGACCCCAUGGGCGAGGUCACGGUAGCAGCACAUUAAUAUUAGCGCUGCAAGACCUCUGAAUCCCUUGUGGCUUGCUCUUGAGGGGCAAUCGUUAGUAACACAUUGGUGGAGUGGAGGGCAAAUCGUGGGGACUGGUGGGCAUGGUCGCCCAGGCCCUCGAAUGGUCGGACCGUGGCCUGGGCAGGGCUUCUCAAUGGAGGUACAGCUGAUGGUAUGGCUGAUGGAUAACCGAAUGAAUGUUGUGCACAGGGACGUAUUGUGAAGUAAUAGGUAAUGGGAGUGGCACAUUACUAUGCAAAUCGACAGAAAUUGCUUGGGGCCCGUUCCAUAUGUUGACUGACUAAAUCCUUCGUUGGAUAGUUGAUUGUUGGGGCAUGUCUGCUUCGCUUGUAUACUGGGGCGACUUUCUGGUGCCAGCCAGUACUAGUUUUCGAAGGGCCUUACCCGCGGGUCCAGAGCAGUAGGGGCCCUCAUGGUCGGUCUUGUGGAUGAUUUCAGCACUAUGAACUUAUUUCAGAAUACAGGACUGACUCUCUGUUUCCUGCUUGAACUAUAUAUGGAAGGGGCAAACCACUGUAACUUAAGCUUGUGCGUGUUUCUGCUAAGUUUUCCGCACUGUUGCAUUCUCAAAGCCAUUCUUUCGUAAAACCGUCAUAAGAAUGCUUGAGACUGGCAUAAGAUCAUUCUCAGCAGCACCAGCAUUCUCAAGCCGUUCUUAGCAUUCUUAGCGUUCUCAGGAACAUUCUUUAGCAUGCUUCCAUUUUGGUAGGGUUAGGAAAACCUAAAUUAGUAGGGCCCCAGCGUUUGGGACUAUGGAACUAUAGCAGGCUUUCGGCUACCGUACUGCUAUUGUACAUUCCUGAUAUUCAUUUUGCCAUGAAAAGCCAUGAAACGAUUACACCCUACUUCUAGGCUGCUCAAGCAGACCAAGUUAAUCUUCCGAUUCGUCUAUUUUUGGACUACCAACUUUCGAUACCGUCCCGAAUUGUGAUAACACAACUGCAAAAUCUGCUCGUGGCUGUCCCGAAAUGGCAAUGUCACGUAAAAACUCCAGCCCCAUUUUCAUUGCCACCCUGAAUUGUAAUAUCAGGAAUGUACAAUAGCAGUACGGUAUUGUAGAUUGUAGAACACUCGGAGGCCCUAAACACAGAUCGAAGGCCCUAGCAUCAAGGUGCUUAGUCGUAAGUUACUUUGUUUGCAAAAUUUACAAGCCUCCAAAAAUUCUAUUCCUAAUCCCUUUGUGCCUUUCGUAGGUGGAAUGAUGUCUUUGAGCUAGUGGGGUCCGUGGCUGGAGGCAAUGUCUAGAAAUCCAUAAGACACGACAGGCGCGUCCUGGCCACAUGGCCAAUAUUGGCGCGCCUUGCAAAAAUCUUCGCGCCUAGUAGCCGCUCCGGCAGAAAGCCGGAUUGCCCGCGCGUGACCCACCCAUCCCAUGGUUGGACCAAACCAUUAGCAUUUUUUGCCAAGUUCCUAUAGUCCGUACCUAACAAGGUAAUCGGCCGAUAACUACCUGGCGAAGAUCCCUGGUUUUCAUUGUAACCGUGAUGACCUGCUUAUGAAAGGCGCUACCCGGUCUAUUGCUGAUCGAUGCUAACCAAGGAGCACGGAAGAAAUGAGCGAAUGAGCUGCGCAUGCAACCUGUGCACCGGUAGUGAGCAUGCUCAGCCUGUUUCAAUCGUGCUCUACAUUGUAUCGGGCUCCUCUAACACCGGGGUGUUGCUGCUCGGGGGAGGCAUCACGUCAUAUCGAGCAGACCGAGACUAACCACAGAGAAGAGAAAAGAACGAGCUGAGCAUACAGUUACAAGUUACAGUUACAAGUUCCGCACGCAAGUAUUGUAUUGUAUUGUAUUGUGGUUACAGUCUUUCCGCCGCCGACGCGGCGGGUGCCCUCACGAGCCGUGAGGCUCCAGAGCACGCUGUUGACGCUCAUCAAAAACCUCAGUAAGGAAAGUAGCGAUUUUCCUCGGAUUGGUAUUAAGAAAUACCUUGCGCAUAUCAGUAUCUUCAACGUUAAUCAGAAACCUAUUACGCAACUCAGUAUACGCCUCACACUCCAUAAGCACAUGAUAUUCAUCCUCAACCUUACCCGACGUACAGACCUGACACGUACGGCACUCUCUCGGCCUAUGGUGCCCUUUGUUGACCUCCAAAGGCCAACAACAAAGACGGAAUUUGGCAACCAUACGCAACUGGUUGGUGUCGCUGACGUGCCUCUUGAAUUAACCGAUCAGGUUUGCUAGCUUCGGUAUAGGGAGGAAGGGAAGAGUCUCUGGGUAGUUCAUGAUCGGCAGUCAGACCUAACUCUGAAGGACACCACCCUGCGUGGGGUUCCCAGCUCGAAGUGUCCUAGGUUAGCCUGGAAUGGACUGCCUGGCACGGACAUGAUGAGCUAUGAGGGAUCUUUGUUGAUCAUGGUUGAUCUGCUCUUAUGACGCCGGGCACACGCCAGGAGAAGACGUUCCGCUUGACUCCAGUCUAUGUUGGAUUAUGCCCCCCCCUUGGGGGGAAGAUGUGUAUGUCGGCACUAAGACGGCAAUAAUGCCUAACGGUGUUUGUGUGUGCGAUUUCCCCUUGACCCAUCUAUAUUACACGUUCGUGGGACCGCCCACAGUCACUUCAGGCGGCUCCACGCCGGGUGGUUGGGGCGGGGGGGGGGGGGAAACAAGAGUGAGGCGGUAGGAAUGAGAAAGAGAGGAGAAUGCGCGCAGGGCGCGGGUGGCUGGGGCGGUGAAGCGGGCGGCACAGGAAGGGGAACAGUGGUACAUACUCUAGAUGCUGCACUCGUCGCUGACGUGCGCCCAGCUACCUUGGCUGUGUACGGUGGACGAGCGCUUAGGCUUCAGUUAUGGCAUUUUCAGAAGUACUGGAUACGGUGAAGGUGGUUGCUAAGGUUGUACGGGUCCAAAGUGAGACGAAGGUUGCUUUUGGUGGGAGAGGAAGUGUGGAAGGUAUGUUUUUAUUACAGAGACUUAAGGUGCUUGAUAGAGAUUUGAGGCGUUUAUUUGGCCAGGAUCAGGCCCAAUCUUGCCAUCGUUCGGAGACAGUCGGUGUGUAGGCGCGCCGCUUCUCCCACCCGGAGAGGAAUUGUCAUUCCCCCCCCCCAGUCGCGGUGCGCCUAGCUUCCCUCGUGAUCGCUAUCGGGCGAGGCCCAUUCGGAAGAGAUAGUGGUCACGGGAUGGUUGCAGCUAGAACAGGUGGGAGAUACAGAGAGGGGGUGCUGAAAGGGCAGGCAACGGCAUUGGUAGACUUUCUCUAGAUCUCCAGGCAAGCAAAUUUCCUGGAGGUUCCUGUGUCUACCUUCGCAAUCUACAUCUGGCAGCUUGCAGCAACUCGGCAAGCGGCACCAGGUUGAGGGCGGGGAAAGCCCCGAAAGAAAUCCAGAUGGGUAGGGAUCACGCACGGAUAACCUAUCCGGAAUCCGCGGAUAAUCCCGCACUCAUGGCCGUGCAUGCAACGGCUUCACGGCAGGCAGAACACCCUUUAAGUCGCGCAGCAGGGUCACGACGGGAAUGAGGACCGGGGUGUUGGCGGCAGUCCAUUGCAAAUAGCGACUAGGCGCCAACAAUUUGUUCUACUUAAGGGCCACAGCAUCCGGCUCAGCAUGACCCUGCCGGAUGAGAAUCUGGUGAUAAGUGAGCGAUAACCGUUGACCGGCAAAUCUCCCAAGAACUCCCGCAAUAUGUCACCACAUUCUAAGGAUUCUUUUGAAUCAGCAGGUUGUAGGUGCUGCAAAGGUUAAAGAUGGCCCAUGCACAAAGGCGGCGCAUGGCAGACCCUUGGGUCCCAGCUUGGCGAGAUCGUCAUAGCCGUGGCUGAAAGCGCGAACCCGAGCAUUACACAACAGCUUGUGCAAAUCAUUUGAAUAUCUUGCUUUCGAUUAGCCCACCCACCCACCCAUUGAUUAUUCAGCGAAUUAUAAUUCCAGCGUUUAUGGGAACCGGUAAAUUACCCGUACUUCACACCGUACUUGGCCCUUCGUUGUCGGCGGUGAAGCGGGCGGCACAGGAAGGGGAACAGUGGUACAUACUCUAGAUGCUGCCCUCGUCGCUGACGUGCGACACGCGGAUCACCCCCUUGGCUGAACUGAUCCCAGUCACUUAAAAGGAACGCAGAUAACCUCUCCAGAACCUCACCCACUCGAAUCAACUGAGACGAGUACACAUCUACCUUCUGAGAGACGGAGUCACACGCCGGCCACUCAUGACCCAACCAACGCAAAACGAUGAGCACUUUAGACGACCAGCAAUCCAGCGACCCAGCAAGUGCGGGUGUGUCCGUAAAAGCCGGGGGGGGGCAUGGAUGUUAUACUAGUAUUGAUGCGGGUACACGGGAGGCCAUCAUCAUCCUCCCUCGUUCACUUCAGGGUGAAGCGCCUCAGCGCGACGUGCCUGGCCUCCCAGAUUUCCGAGAGGUACCUGGGCAAUGCCACGGGUGGCGCCUCAGUCAUAAUGGUGCGCAUGCUGCACCCCUCAAAGACUAGGUCACCAUCGUACUUAGCCCGUAUGCUCUUGUAAGCGGGGCAUUCAUCAAAAACGUCCAAUCCAUCUUCAACCGCUCCACAGUCACAAAGCCUGCAGGUACACGUGGUGCACUCACGCCCAUUAGGCCUAUUAACCUCUAACUCCCAACAACCUAACCGGAAACGCAUGAGCACUUGAUGUAGUCGCCGGGGCAUGGUCACUUUAGUGUGCUCUAACCAAUCGAGACGCGGCGGGGCCGCUCUAAUUCGGUUCAUAUAGCGACAAGCCUUGGCUCCGGUGAUCCCUAUGGGGAAAACGGGGGGUCACCUAAGGUAUUCGGACACUCCCACCGUGCAUCAAGCCGCUUCGCAAAUAGUUUAAGAAUGCUCUCGACUGGCAGGGUGGCGUAAUGCACUAUGAGAUCAUCACCGCGCGUAUUAGUGGGGGGUUCCGCUCCUACGCUAGUAAGAAAGGCUAGUAACUUGCUUGUCCAGCACUCAGUAAUGCCAACGAGUGCCGAUUCCAGGACAGCGACAAAUGCCCGAUGACACAGCGUUCCCGGCCUCUUAACCACGGAGAUCCAAAACCUAAGUACAAGAUUGGUCUAAUGGAACCGAAGCGGCCUUUGCGACAGUUCACGAUAUAGGGAGGUCAUAGUCGGGCUCCUCGCCCCAACUACAGAUCGCGUGUACGCAAGCUGCUCCUGGACCAUGGGAUUAGUCAUAGCGCCCUCAAAACUCACAUUUAUGAAGUCAGGUCCCCAAUCUUGCGCUCUAUAAGAAAACACCAGUAGAACAGUAUAUUACAGAGACAUACAUAUGGCUGGUUGCUGGCAGAAGUUAAGGCCAGACUUCUGCUCCCAGCAGCUCAGGUCCAAAUCCGCCUGCCGACCUUUCGGGUGUGUGAGGGGUGUUGUAAUGGGAGGUGGCCCCCCGUCAUGAGGACGGUGUAGGACGUGAUGAUACCAUUCUGCGAGCUGAUAAGGGACUCAAUUGCUGGCGGUUAAUCCGCUAGAUUAGAUUGAAUGCUGGUGGUGACUCCAACGAAUGCAGUCUGAAGUUGGAUGGGGUGAAUGGACUAGGGUGCCUCUCUCGCAGGGGAGAGCAGGGAACUGCCUCGGGAAAGGGGGCUGCCGGUGAAGCUAUACCGUAUCGCUAUGGCCGAUUGGUGAUUUCUGGAUUGGUGAAAGUAAAAAACGCUUUGAAUCCGGGCUGAGCAGCUAGCCAGACCAAGAACCGGGACGAGAAACCCAAAACGCGUUCGUUACAGUACAACUAAUACGAACAAGGCACCGGGGACGUGGACAUAUGGUUGGGGAGAAGAGACGCCCAGCCUGCCUGCCAGAGCCCGCAUGCUACUUCGUGCAGCCCUUCCGGGCUACCGUGCUCUUCCGCAUUGGUAACCAGCAGGCAGCCGACGGCCUCGCUUGGGUUACUUUGGCCCCACACCUAACCCAGCGAAACAUCCCCCCUCACCCAGUCGCGUCACAUUCGCUCCACCACUGUCCGCCUCACAGCAACGGACCGGCGGAUGUAGACCAGCACCGCAUCAGACCUCCACCACCUGUGCGCCUUAAUCUCCUCCAGACCCACCCCAGCAUUGGCAGCCGCAGUGGCCCCCCCCUUGCGCAAGCUGUGGGCCGAUAUCCUAGCGAGAUCUAGCCUCAACUCUGGCUUGUACCCCUGCAACUCACCCAGCAACACAUGCAGCCUACUAGUGAAAUCCCCGCGCCGCCACGCCGUGCCCUGAUUGCCCGGCCCAGUGAUUCCCCGUACGAAGAGCGGGGAGUGAUCCUCGGCCGUCCGCACACACUCCAGGUGCCGCUGUACUAUGCGAGCGAUGGGGAUGCCGCUCUGGGUGAUUGCUGCCAGGCACACCAACGUCCCCGCUCCCUUCUGGUCCGUCUUGCUAUGUACGAUCUGCAGCCCCACACCCCCUCCCGGCAACUCCUCAAUGCAGCCCACUGUCAGGGCCGCCAACUCGCUCCUCCAGAGCAUCCCAAAAAACCCCAAAACCAGCCAGCAGGCGUCCUGGGUGAACUCCGUCGCCCUCCGCAGCUCCGCAUUUGCCCUGCACCGUAGCCACGCCACGAGCAGCCUCAACACUCCCAGGGGCAGGGGUGCCUUUGCCAUGGACGGUGCCGACUCCGGCCCCGCAGCAGUCCUCCGCAACGCUUGGCCCAGGGUUCGCUUGACCAGCGGGUCACGGCUGAUAUAUGCCUCUGGCGAGACCCCCAUGAACCGCUGCCAGUCCGCCAGGGCGCUCAGUGUGCCAGUGACGGUGGAGGCCGCGUACCGGCCAACUACAUGCACUAUGAACAGACACACCAGGCCCCGAUUGAGGUCAGACCCACACUGGCGGGGCAGGGUGUCCGCCUCCGGCACCCCUGCGACCUCCACACAGAAGUGUACAAAGCCCCGCCGCCCCAACUCGUACAUGACUGAAGAGCUGUCUGCGACCACGCUGCCAUAUAACGCCACGGCUAGCCGUGCUAGUUCCUCCGUAACACUCCCCUGGGCCACUGAUCCGAUACCCGCCGCCGCAAGCAAGUGGUGCAGCGGUACCACCCACCGGGGUAGGCGCCUGGGGCGAUUCCAAGGCACCGAUGAUGAGCCGAGCAGGGGCAGGCCUCACAGCACAGAUCCCCAGCUCCGCAGCAACGCCUGCAGACGGAGCAGCUUCCCUCCUCCUGGAGACCGCCUGCCGGCACUGGCCAAGGGGGGAUGCGGGGCAAUAUAAUUGAGCCUGAGCACAAUCAAGUCGUACUCGCUGGGCGUGGCCUCGGCCCCCCAUGGGAAAAGGCAGCGCUGUCGGCCCUUGGGCAGGACAGCCGAUACCACAUACAGGGUUGCCCCUUGCCCGGUGCCCACGAUGAAGCACCGAAACCAUGAGCACUCUGGCCAGUUUGGCACGAUGACAGUCGCCUGUGUGCUCUGGUCGAGCCUCGCAGCUGCCAUGAUCUCGAGCAGCACCUCCCCGACCAAAUCCUUGGGUGGGAAGGCCCACAGGACUUUGCCAGCGAGGGUUGCCGCCUGACCCAGCACCAACUUAUCCGGGCUGAAGAAGGUGGAGCAGCCCGGCUGUGCGUUGAUACCUAGCACGUCGCAGCAACAGUCCACCGAGGGAGCAUAUGGCCCAAACCCGACCAGGGAGCGGAACAUGCGAGGUUUGAGGCGCAGAUUCUGGCUGCGGGCCAACUCCAGAUUGCGGCUGAGCCGGUCCACCCUGACGUUAAGCUCCCCGGCGAUAUGCUCCACCCGCACUUCGAACUGGUGCCGCACCACCAACAGUGCCAGCUGUCGGCUGAUGGCCCGUCCGUCUGGGAUGCGUGUGGAACCAUGGUUGAUGGCCGCUACCGCCUGGGUGUUGUCGCACCGGACCAGCACCCGGCGCCCCGCCAACCGUGGCGCCCAGGACUGCAGCACCCACAGGACCGCUGAGAGCUCCAGCCAGCCGAUGUGCAGUCGUCGCUCCCCUUCGGACCAGUGGCCUUGCACCUUGGCCUGGUCCCAGGCCGCCCCGAAGCCCGCGCCACUCACAUCUGUGAAGAUGGUGGCGCCCUCUUCCCCCAAGAAAUCCCCCCUCACCAAGUCCAGAUUGGCCAAAAGACAGCGCUUGACACCGUCCCAGACGGAGGCGUCCGGCAGAGGACGUCCUGCCAGAAGUGAAGGUCGUCAAGAGCCCCCUCAGGAAGGGCGACUGAUGACGGCGGGGGGUAUUGCAGGGUGCUGAGAGCGUCGUAGAUGCCCUGCAGGAAAGUGUAGCCCCAUCUGCAUGCUCGCACCACAAACGUGAGGCGGCUGGCGAGUGUCUGAAGGUCUCCUCGGUGGACGGGCCCUGUGGCGGCCGCCUCUAGGAUGGCGGUGACUUCACUGGCAUAUCGCUGCUGCUUGUUGGGGGCCAUACGCAUCUCCAUGCGGAUGGUGUCGAAAAGCAUGCCCAGGAACUCCAGCUGCUGCAAGGGGGCGUCGCGCCCCCGGUCCUUGCUGGCCUUCCACUCAAGGCCCAACUCAGUGCCGAUGUCGUCGAGGACCUGAAAGGCGCCCUGGAUGUCCGCGUGCGAGUGACCCAUGAUCAUGAAGUCAUCUACGUAGACGAAGAUGUGCACCUGCAGGCCCCGGCAGUCGCACUCCUGCUGGAAAAUGCUGGCAGCGGCGGUGGUAAGCUCCACGAAGAUCGCUGGGCUUUGACUGGCGCCGAAGGGAAGGGAGACCCAUCGCUGCAGCGCGCCGGUGGAGGGGUGCCGGAAGGCCAUGAAUCGGCGCGCCUCUGGUGCCAGCUUGACGUGGUGGAACCCGCUCGCCAGGUCGCGCUUCCCCAGAAAGCCAUUGGCUGGCAGCUGUUCUUGAAGUGUGGCGAGAUUGGGGAGCGGACAGGGGAGCUUGGUCAUGCACUCAUUGACCCCAGACUGAGAGGGGUCGGUUAUGGGACGGAUGGAGCCAUCUGGCUUGAGGACGACGUGCAGGGGGUUGACGACGGCCGCGAAGUCGGUCUCGAAGCCAUGCACGCUGGGGUCAUAUUGCUCGGUGACGCCGGAAGCCAGGAGGUCAUCAGCCAGGAGGUCAUCGAAGUGCUGGCUCAUGUCGGCGAGGUGCGGGAGGAUAGAGGGAUAGUUACGGAGGUGGUGGGACGGGUUAGGCUCCGUGUGGAAUGUCCAGACGGCCACGUUGCGGGACGCUGGCGUAUCCACUCCAUACCGCAGCCAUGCCUCGGUGACGAGCUUGCUGCCCGCCUGCCCGAACCAAGGGCGCCCCGGGGCCGGAUGGAGCGGUUCAGGGAUCAUGGCCGCCGCCACUAAGGCUGACGCCUGUGCUACCGCUGCUGCAGCGGCCUCUGCAGCCACUGCGUCGGAGACCAUCUCAAGUUGCUGCAGAGGCGCGGGGCCUGCACCUACACUCAUCGAACGGGACAGGGGGGGGGGAAAACGAACCAAGCACCCCAGGAACAAUCAGCUGCCAACCUCCUUAUCCCCGAGGAGGGGGCCGAUAUCGCAGUGUGUGCCCCAUCUAUCGCCCAACGGGGAGGGCAGCUCUAACCCGCAGUGUGUGGGGGCCCUCCAACUGGGCUAAACGUCAGCAAGACGCCUCCUUAUCCCCGAGGAGGGGGCCGAUAUCGCGGUGCACGCCCCGUCUAUCGCCUGACGGGGAGGGCAGCUCUAACCCGCAGCGUUUGGGGGCCCUCCAACUGGGCUAAACGUCAGCAAGACGCCUCCUUAUCCCCGAGGAGGGGGCCGAUAUCGCGGUGCACACCCUGUCUAUCGCCUGACGGGGAGGGCAGCUCUAACCCGCAGCUACUUGGACGCGGCCUAUCCAUACGCCGAGGUAGCCUGAGCCAACGUCGGACCUUCCCACAAGCCGCCCUUGCAACCCCAGUAGACAACAUACCCGUCAGCCCGACGCUACCAUUUACUGCAACCUGGAAUCACGGUUUCGCACUGCCAACAUUUGCAACAACGGCUGCGCAUCAAGAGAACCACAAAAGCACAUUCCCUCAGCCCUAAUCACACACGCUCCUCAUGCAAUCCACCAACCACCCAAACAACUCGAUGCCACAUUCUAGGUUGCCACAUUCCGCAGCCUAUGGGCGUGGCCCAUAUGCGUUGCCUAGCUGUCACGGCAAGGUCACAACCCAAGCUAGGCAUUGUAAAUAUCCUGGUAUUUGCCCGGGAUAGGUGCCACAGUGCUCAAGCAAAAUUAGGUUCGUCCGUUUGGUCCUAACACGUAUCACGCGUCUAUGUCCGCCAGGCUCCGACCUCUCACUGUCCAUCCAGGUAGAAUCACCUUUUCGCUCGCAAUACAUAAUGCCGCACUCUCACAACGCUGUGACGUUAUACCCAACAGGUGCGCAAAGCAUACCAAUAAAAUCUCUCGAAUCACUUGCCGCGUGCGGCGAGAGCGCACAGAUAGAUGCCCUAAGGUCAUGAAACGCCCUGCGUACUUAAUAAGCGCGGAUACGAGGUAUCGGAUGCGUUAGCCUACACGAGACCUCCCUGGGUAGAAACAAGCAACAAUAGCAGCAGGAAUGAUCAAUGACAGCGGCAUGCCUCCCCAACACCAGCAUGCCAUGCUCGCUGUCCUGCCUUACCUGUCUAAUGAAAACCAGGUCCGUUCAAUACUGGAUGACUGAAUACCGUCGCGGCAGACUGCUAACGUCAGCACGGACUGGAGCUCUGCUAUGAGGAGCCACUCCCCGGUGAUGCAGUCCGCACAGGUCCCCCGGCCCUACCGCAAGAAACUGGUACGCUAGCCAGGACGGCCUCAACGAACGCGCGCAAAGCGAAUGACCACAUUCUCAGUGUAGUCAGCUGUCCUUUGUAUAAACAAUACAAAAUGCGCAAUUGUUGUCAUGGUCGUUUGCACUCAUAAAGCAAGGCGGCUGCGAGCCCGGAGCACUGCCCGCAGCCGACUCUGUCACCCGGCGACAGAUGUAGGGCCAAGGCUCCGGUAAUGUCUGGGAGCUCCUCUCAGGGCUGCACCACAAUACAGAGAUUGUCUCUAUAUUGUUAUAAGCGAAACUGCCAGAAGAAAGGUCGUCAAAUCCCCACCGCUGACCAACGGACAAUAACAGCGGCAGCUAGCAGCUGUUUUGGUAAAGAGAGCUCGUAUCAACCAGCAGCCGAAUCCGAGAUCGCCCGGAAGAUAAUUCGACAAGACGAAACACCACCGAUCAAAUAGCAGUUCAAAAUAACAACCAACUAACUGCACCGUACGACGCCGCUCUGACGCCCCUCUUCAAACCACAUUUUCGGCUACGCCUAAAAUAAGAUUUCUAGAAUUAAUCUUUCCAACACCGGAAUUGGUGAUACGGUUUGGUGUUACCCCGUCCACUUUUUCCCAUUGCCACCGAAUUGGUGAAAGCCGCCAACCGGACUGCCCCCCGUUCACUGUGGGCCCUCCGAGGCGCCCCAGGCCCACAUCAACCAAUCUGCAGUCGCAUGUAAACGUUUCUAGAUGCACGCCGUCGCAUACAGCAUCGCGCGCGCGCAGCAAAGUGACCCUUAAACGGCGGUCCGGCACCCGACCUGGAUCCAAAACGUACAGGGAUUGGUGAUGGCCGCCGCUCAAUCCCAGCCCGGAUUAUCCUUUGCUACUGGAUUGGUGAUUUUCACCAAUCCGGUGUCACCAAUCGGCCAUAGCGAUACGGUACCACCCUGUAACAACAUCAUACACAGCUUGGGGAUGGUAAUUAUCUUAUCUCGACACCAACCCUUAAACCCCAAAACCCAAAAACCCUAAAACCCUAACUCUCCCUGAUAGCGUACCUAUAAUACUCGGCCGGGGUUCCCUCCAGGCCCGGGGACUUAUUGUUGCGCAUAGCCUUGAGACCACGAACAAUUUCGGCCUCCGUAAAGUCCUUGUUGAGCCACGCAGCUAAUUCCACCGGUGCAUCACCCGGUCCUCGUCCUGCGGCAGGAAUCCUGCCAUUUAAACUGGAUACCUUCAUUGCAGUGUUGCUCGCGUCUCCCGCACCUUUAAGCACCUUGGAAAAAUGCUCGGUAAAGCCAUUAAUAUCUGAGAUCCCGCAAGGAGGCGGUUUUCCCCCACGCAGCCAUGUCCACAAGCCGCGUGGGUUAGACCGGGCGUCCUUAAUCCUCCUCCGAAUAUUUUCCAAUUCAAUCUCCUGAAUAGCGGCCUUUCUGGCCUUCUUAAAGGCACGGUGCUUGGCCUUCCAGGUAGCCCUAUGUAUGGCCGGCAGCUUGCCCGAGACGGGGUCCCUGAUCUCCAUACGGAAACUCAUCAUAUCAUUCCACGCAGCUGCACAGUCCUCAUUCCACCAGUCACGCUUCACAUAAUUCACCUUCCCCCGUGCAACGCCGGACGUCUCCCUAGCAUACGUCCCGAUUAGGGUGCGCAAGUCAUUCAUGCUUUCAUCACAAGGGGCCCCUUCGCCAAGCUUCUCCUUGAGCGAGUUGAUGGUCGCUGUAAUAAUGCCAUCUGGGUCACGAAAAAGGUCAGUGAAGCGGCCUUUGCGUGAAAUAUCAAAAAUAGGGAUGUGUUCACGUGCCAGGUGAGGCUUCCGACCCCUGGCCUCAAUAGGCAUGCAGCCGAAGGAUAAGCGGGUGAUGAUCACUCAGCACAUUGGAUUCACCCCAUAAGUAAGAUCUGAGGACUUUAAGGGUGUCUAUCUGCUCGAAGAGCCCAUAAGAUGCAAGGCACAGAUCAAUUGAACUGUGACCCUUAGUUCAGUUGAGGUCGGGCACAUCAACAGGUGCACGCCCAUUGACAAUGGCUAGGCCUGUGUCAAGACACAUUUGUGCCAACCGGAGGCCAAAACGAUUAACUCCGUUAUCUCUACUUUUACGGGGAACGCCGCCAAGGGAGUGUGCCCCUACUCCAUUUACUUCGGGCAAGUCUAGAAUAGCUGCCGCACGGGCAUUAAAAUCACCUGUGAUAAGCACCUCAUCGCCCACGCACUGCAGUCUAUCUAGCUUGCCAGUAAUGCUUUUAAAAGCAGCGAAAGCGAAAGUGACCUCACUAUAUGCCAGGCCACUCCCAUCCGUGCUGCUAUAAACGCUGGACCCCUGGGGCGAGCAGUAACCAGCCCCAAGUAGAAGCGCCCGACCCCCUGGGAGAACGCUAGGGAACCGCAACCAGACAAUUUCCAACCCAACAGGUGCAUUCGUUAGGCCCACUUCUCUCACACAGGGGGCCAGCUCAUAACGCACAAACACUGAGACCCCGCCUGACCUUCGAGAGCCUGUGCGCGGUGCCCUAGUGCAUGCGAAAUGGCUAUAGCCCUGUAAUACUCGUUGUUCCUUUGCGCGCUUCCGAUUAACGGGCGCCUUCAAGGACGAUUACAUCAUGGUUAAGGAACCCACGAAUGGCCGUAAUCUGGUAGAGCUUGCCUGCCGAGAAGGCAUGGACGUUCCAAAUAAGGAAGCGGAUGCUAUUACCUCCCCCCCCCCCGUGCUCCCUAGUUAGCCGUCUGCCUCAGCUCUGUGGCCAUUUUGCGAACGUCUACCUUCGCCCAGACGCCACUGUCUGGCUCGGUGAGCGCCAUAAGGUGGGUACCUCGCCAUGAAGGGGCUCUCUUACUACCAAGUGCCGAAACACGUCCUGUUGCCCUUUUUGCGUGUUUCGCCAAGUGCUGUAAGCGCCAGUGUCACCCGCACGGCCGGGAACGACUCGUCCACCCCUUCCUCCGCAUCCAGGCCCAGCUGCUUCCGUAAUGUGUACAGGGCAUGAUAUGCCGCUGGGGUUGUCGUGAUGCGAACCCGCUGGGUUGUCCGCUUGCUGCUGCGUGCAGCGACGUUCGGGUGUGCCUCAACGGUGCAAUCUUCGGACGCGACCCUCAUGUCCAUAAGCUGCCGUAGACGCAGUUGCAGUUUCUGGAUCACUUCGUCCUGCGUCCAAGCAGCUGGCAGUCCGUCGGUGACCAGUGCACCCCGGUCCAUAUGUCCAUCGGUGCUGCUGGUAGUCUCAGCCAGCGCUUGGGGGGGUCUGGGAGCGCAAUUGGGUCAGCGCAAGACAGGGUAGCGCCUUUCAGAAGCAGCAGCACUGGGCCGUAGUUGGACAGCGUGUUACAGCGUGGUUGGCUAGGGGCAUGGCCCACUCACUGAGCAUGCUGAGCGUGCACUGGUGAACUCUGUGCUAAAUUCGGGGUACUAAUUUCUUGAGUUUAGGAAGUUGGCAGGAUGCGUAGGAUGAGUAGGUUAUUAUGUUCUUUGGUUUGGGGACCCAAUAGGGCGCUGAGCACGGUGGAGCAAGCUGAGCCUGUAGUGUAGCAGCUGGCUGCUGAAAAGGCCUCUCGAGAUGCUGGUGAAGCGUUUCGCUCGUAUUAGUAGUUCUUCAAGGUGCCAUACUGUGUACCAACUACUGCAACUAGCCUGAGCAUGCUCACUACCGGUGCACCGGCAAAUUCGAUGCCUCCAUGCACCCUGCUUCAUGCACUGAUGACCCUUUAGGAUUCACCUUAACACAUUUCAUUCAUAAUGGCAUGCAUGUGCGCUGCGAGUCGUGCCAUAAUUAUUUAUUUGUCGUUCUACGUUUCCCUUUGUGUGUGCAGGCAAGCAGGCCCUGGCUGGGCCUUAACUCUAUUUAUUGAUGCUGGCUAGCGCCGCUGGGCUAGCACUGUGUUAGAGAUAAGAGUCCUUCAGUGAACACAUCACUCGCUCAUAUCGUUACACAAGGAGAGAGAGAGAAUGGAUACGCAAGCAGUAUAUAAGCAUACCGUAGCCAAUCCUGAUUCGAUGUCGUAUUGGGAUAACGGCAACUAAUCAAACUACCGAAGUGUCAAGCCUGAGUGUACCUAAGGACACUUCCCAACACUCCCACGCGCUCAGGACUUGCACACGUUCAUCGCCAUACGAUGCUUCACAAACUUCUCAGUUGGUAAAGGCUUAGUUAGACAAUCAGCUACCAUAUCUUCCGACCUGCAAUCUACCAUCACAAGCGUACCGAGCGCUACCUGCUCCCGUACAAAAUGAUAACGCACAGAGAUGUGCUUCGAUUGCUUCGAAACAACCGGAUUGCUCGCCAACCGAAUUGCGCUCUGACUAUCGCAAUUGAUCUGCGUUGGCUUGAGGUCGUAGCCGAGAUCGCCAAGUAGUUGUCGCAACCAUAAGGCCUCCUUAGCAGCUUCCGAAACAGCCAUAUACUCAGCCUCCAUAGUGGACGCAGCCACGCUCCGCUGAAGUUUACUAGCCCAACUAACUGUACCACCAUGAAGAGUAAAGACGUAACCAGACGUUGACCGCCGCGAGUCAGCACAACCCGCAUAGUCAGCAUCACUAUACCCAACCAACCUCUCAUCUGCUCGUUCACCACCUAGGACUAAUCCGUAAUCGGACGUUCCUGCCAAAUAGCGUACUACCUCCUUCGCCGCUUUCCAGUCCGACCUGCUAGGAUUCGACAUGUGACGCGCCAAAAUUCCCACGGCUUGUGCAAUGUCGGGACGAGUACAUCCAGACACGUACAACAAACUGCCAAUUAACUGGCUAUACGGGAAACGCUCUCGAUCCAGCCGAUCUUCCACUGCAGCAUUAGGUAAGACGGUUCCAGGACUCAUAGGUACAGACUUCGGCCGUGCAUUAACCAUGCCAUAAAGACCCACAAUGUCCUUAACCAUACGCCCUUGAGAAACGGUAAUUACCCUGUUCGCUCGAUCGCGCUUAAGGGUAAGACCCAAAAAUAAACUUGCCUCUCCUAAGUCGCGGCACUCAAACCGCCGCAUGAUAGCCGCCUUUACUUCUGAAACGGCUCUCUCGCUCCAAGACGCAAUCAAAACGUCGUCUACAUAAACCAAAAGAUACACAACCUCGCCUUGUUUACGGCGAACAAAUAAACUAGGGUCCGCACUCGACGCGACAAAGCCCAUCGACACUAAUUCUUCACAUAACGUGUCAUACCAUGCACGCGACGCUUGACGAAGGCCAUACAAGGCCUUAUGGAGAAGACAAACUAUCCCCGGGCCUCCCUCUUCAAAACCGGGGGGUUGUUUGACAUAAAUUUCCUCCUCCAAAUCGCCAUUCAAGAACGCUGUUUUCACAUCUAAUUGGUGCAAUUCCAUGUCUGCGCCAGCUACCAUGGACAAAAAGGUGCGCAAGGUAGUGUGACGACUCACCGGCGCAAAAACCUCCUGAAAAUCCACACCCUCGNNNNNNNNNNNNNNNNNNNNNNNNNNNNNNNNNNNNNNNNNNNNNNNNNNNNNNNNNNNNNNNNNNNNNNNNNNNNNNNNNNNNNNNNNNNNNNNNNNNNNNNNNNNNNNNNNNNNNNNNNNNNNNNNNNNNNNNNNNNNNNNNNNNNNNNNNNNNNNNNNNNNNNNNNNNNNNNNNNNNNNNNNNNNNNNNNNNNNNNNNNNNNNNNNNNNNNNNNNNNNNNNNNNNNNNNNNNNNNNNNNNNNNNNNNNNNNNNNNNNNNNNNNNNNNNNNNNNNNNNNNNNNNNNNNNNNNNNNNNNNNNNNNNNNNNNNNNNNNNNNNNNNNNNNNNNNNNNNNNNNNNNNNNNNNNNNNNNNNNNNNNNNNNNNNNNNNNNNNNNNNNNNNNNNNNNNNNNNNNNNNNNNNNNNNNNNNNNNNNNNNNNNNNNNNNNNNNNNNNNNNNNNNNNNNNNNNNNNNNNNNNNNNNNNNNNNNNNNNNNNNNNNNNNNNNNNNNNNNNNNNNNNNNNNNNNNNNNNNNNNNNNNNNNNNNNNNNNNNNNNNNNNNNNNNNNNNNNNNNNNNNNNNNNNNNNNNNNNNNNNNNNNNNNNNNNNNNNNNNNNNNNNNNNNNNNNNNNNNNNNNNNNNNNNNNNNNNNNNNNNNNNNNNNNNNNNNNNNNNNNNNNNNNNNNNNNNNNNNNNNNNNNNNNNNNNNNNNNNNNNNNNNNNNNNNNNNNNNNNNNNNNNNNNNNNNNNNNNNNNNNNNNNNNNNNNNNNNNNNNNNNNNNNNNNNNNNNNNNNNNNNNNNNNNNNNNNNNNNNNNNNNNNNNNNNNNNNNNNNNNNNNNNNNNNNNNNNNNNNNNNNNNNNNNNNNNNNNNNNNNNNNNNNNNNNNNNNNNNNNNNNNNNNNNNNNNNNNNNNNNNNNNNNNNNNNNNNNNNNNNNNNNNNNNNNNNNNNNNNNNNNNNNNNNNNNNNNNNNNNNNNNNNNNNNNNNNNNNNNNNNNNNNNNNNNNNNNNNNNNNNNNNNNNNNNNNNNNNNNNNNNNNNNNNNNNNNNNNNNNNNNNNNNNNNNNNNNNNNNNNNNNNNNNNNNNNNNNNNNNNNNNNNNNNNNNNNNNNNNNNNNNNNNNNNNNNNNNNNNNNNNNNNNNNNNNNNNNNNNNNNNNNNNNNNNNNNNGGAUGAUUCCUUGAUAACGCCCAAAGCUCGCUGGUCUUGCUCGUCUGUCACUACAUCCCGCGUAGCCUGCACGGGGCUGAUCGCGUUCGCUAGUCCUUUACGUUGAAGGACGCCGAUGACGUGCUCCUUCAAGAGGUGAAAGGUGCUAAUGGAGAAAUAAAAAUCCUCCUUAUCUAUUUUCAUCCUUGCCUACAGCUAAGUCCGCACACAGCAGAAAAAGGCACCACCGGGCAAACGGAUGACCGCACGCUAAAGCGCGGGGCUCAUAACCUGUUAGAGAUAAGAGUCCUUCAGUGAACACAUCACUCGCUCAUAUCGUUACACAAGGAGAGAGAGAGAAUGGAUACGCAAGCAGUAUAUAAGCAUACCGUAGCCAAUCCUGAUUCGAUGUCGUAUUGGGAUAACGGCAACUAAUCAAACUACCGAAGUGUCAAGCCUGAGUGUACCUAAGGACACUUCCCAACACACUGCCGGGCCUAUGGCUUAAACACUUCGGUUACCGACAGUUUUGAACACUACCGGGGUUCGCUAACCGAACCGACCGAGUAACGAUCGUGAAAGACACGUUAACCGGUCAGUUGGGUAAACGGUCAGUUGGGUAAACGGUCAGCUGGGUAUGGGCUAAGUGGAUGGUGAUCAGAAUGGCUGCCUUGAUCUGCUGGGCUAGCACUGCCGGCCGGCCUGCGGGCUAGCGCUGCUGGGCUAGCGCUGCUGACUAGUGUUGCUGGGCUCGCACUGCUUUGAUCAACAAUUACGCUCACAAUGGAAGCCCCUUAGCAGUUUCCACCAAGUGGUCCGGUUAUGACUUACCCAGGCUCCACUAAGUGGAGCCCAGUGAAAAACAUCCAUGUAUGCCGCCACUGAAAUGCUGCCGCGGCACUAAACAAUUGACGUGUUGGGCUUCACGCACAUUCCUCACAUUCCUCCUAACAUGGCAGUAAAGAGUGCUACGCCUGUGGCUGUGCGCAUGCUGGCGUGCAGUACUAUAUCUAUGAUGUUGUCUGCGGCAUUACUAAAAGAGUUUCAUACGUUGCGACCAUCAAUGCGCCACUCUCCAUAUCUGUUCUGCUGUCUUUGCCCAAAUCGCUGCUGUCAUGAAAUUGAUUAGCGAAUUGAUAAGCUAAUUACAGAUGCCGGCCCAUGGUACAAGUACAGUUAAUUGUAUGUGAUUCCGCCUCCCUACGUAGCCGAAGCCUCCCUAUGAACAGCUGAGUCACCUUUUACGAGCCAUGUGCGACCAUAUGAAAUCGCAGACCAGCCAACCAUGCAUAACCGUACUUGCUCGUUUGCACUUGCCGGAACAACUAAUAAUCCUUUGGGGCGGGGCCGUGCGUGUGUGUGUGUGCGUGUGUGUGUGUGUGUGUGUGUGUGUGUGUGUGUGUGUGUGUGUGUGUGUGUGUGUGUGUGUGUGUGUGUGUGUGUGUGUGUGUGUGUGUGUGUGUGUGUGUGUGUGUGUGUGUGUGUGUGUGUGUGUGUGUGUGUGUGUACCAAACAUAAUAUCUCGCCCGGCUGAGACGCGUUAUUGGUACUAUAAUAAAUCCUCUAUUGCAAGGCAUCUCGCCUGUAGCCAACCAAAAUCGUAUGAGCACAAAUAAGUUUGGCUGCCUCCAUUGACCGAGGUCAAAGUCACAUCAAGGCCUCUCGGGCUAAAUUUCAUCUCAAAAGGUGCCGCGUAUUUUUAAUUGAAUUCUGAGAUGGCGGCGCUUGAUAGCUCAAACACCCAGCUUGCGUUACCAUUUGUCCGCACGGGCAUUCCGACAUGCCACCAGCAGGCCGACAAAUUUGCUUUCAUUCCUCUACGAACUACGCAAGCUGCUCGUUUGUACAAUUACUUGGGCAAAUGCUCUGGGCCUCCGAAGAGUUGCCGUGUGUCGCGAUGAAGCUCGCGGCUGUGGGGCGGAAGCAUAGCUCCCACAGCAUCAGCACUGCUGCAACAAGCACAGCUCCCACCAUGUUGACACUACCCUAGCUACCGGCCUGUACGGAUGCAGGGGGCCCCCGCCCUUUUUCCGGCUUCGAGGAAGCCGACACCCGACUUGUCAAGUUCCACUAAGCUACUAAACGUUAUAAUAACGUGUGCUAUCUAUCCCGGAUUAGGAAACCCUAGCUGUGUCUCGAUUCUCGUAGUUCCUGUUAUACCUAAUUGAUGAUUCACGAAUGGGAUGCCAUCCCUGCUGUAUCAGAGGUGUAAUCCCAGGCAGCAGUAAGCGCCAACAUUUGUAUGGCGAUGCAGUGGGCUAACCAUACAUAUGCAGUGUGAUUUUCAUCACAUACAACCUAAUCCGGGCCCGAAACCUAAAGCCUAGCUUUCUUGGCCGAAAAAUAUUAUCAUCAAAAUGUUUUCUGUUGGAUAAUUGAUUCCUUCAAUCUUCUUUUGGGGGACCCUUAUUAGCUUGCGGUUGAUCAACUCCGAGUUGAGCAUUCCAUAUAAUUUUGGCCAAUAUUGCAGCGUCCGGGUUACAAUCCAGUAAGAUUUUAUCCCCGAAAAAUGAGGCGGCAGUGAUGAAUUGUAGGGAAGAAGGAGGAUGGAAGGAGGAAACAGGAAGGAGGAAGGAGGGGCGGAGGUAGAGGGACGGAAGAACUUGGAAACGUUGUAGGGGGCCAGGUAUCCGAGCGAUCCUGACAAGAAUUUUGGAGUUUAUUUUCUGGUAAUCAUACUGGUGAAGGUAGGACCGAGGUCAGCGAGGAAGAGGAGGGAAGAAGGGGGGUGUUCACGGCCGGUCGGUGUGGGGGCCCCGGCGGAGGGAUCCAUGCAGCGUUGGGAGUGGCGGGUCCGGCCAUGAGCUCGGCACGAGGCGGGUGAGGGAGCAACCGGACAGGGCAUUGUCCUUGUAGGGAUUGUGUUGGGUCAUGGCGCUCGCUUGUGUUUAGUCGGUGCAAAUUGACGGGGUUCCCCGCCCCCCCUGGAUACCUGCAAAGGGUGCGAUACCCCAAAAGCUUCCCUAGCAUAUUUCAUUUUAUAGAUAAAUAGUUAAAGACACCUUGGUAAGCGGGUCGUUCCGGACAAAGUCGAGGAACGUUUUGUGGCUGGCGUAGUCUAUCUGCCGCGGCUACGGUUUGCUAAGGUACGGAAGGCAGGUCGCUGGCUGUUACCAAAGUUGGCAAUGGCUUGUCACCAGUUGUGAAAAUUAGAGGAUUGCUGGCAGCGUUAUUUGGAACUCCGGAAUUGCGUUCACCAAUUCCUAAAGGUCGGCAAGCAAUACGACAUUCCCCUGCUCUGUACCCUUUUACCCAAAGAUUAAGUCUUCUGCAAAUUUCUAAGCACAGGUUAUUUCAUAAAGUGUAAAUGAAGAUGCUGUACUUGCUAGGUCCUAGCUGAUAACACUGACAGGGUACGUACGAUUAAACCGUACUAGCCUUUCUAUUUCUCCUGAAUUAAAUUUACUAGCCUAAUAUGAAGUAAGUUAUGGAUAUUGAUGAUCAGCGUGGACUUGUGCAGGUCGUACGCAACAUCUGGAUGCGGCGACGCACCCUGAUAGCCGAGCAGUAAGCCUGAGGUCGCUUAACCUACUUACUGUUUUCUCUCGCAGAUGGGGUUCAUAACCCCUCAUUAUUAUUUACAUUUAUUGAUCUUUCCUUCUUCUUGACUACGCUAGAGCUCGCGGUCCAGGCUCGUCCGGGCCUUACGAGCUUGUAACAAAACAUUACAUAACAUUUGAGCUUCAUCAUUAAAUCUCAGGGUUGACUUUUUCUAACUAUUUGAUUUUGGGUGAUACGACUAGCGUUUGGAAGACGUUUGCAUGUUAGUUAUGGCGGUUCGUAGAGGCUGGUGCCAGAGCGCCCAAGGUGUAAUAAUCUGUUCUUUCAGAGCAAAUCAUAUUUUCAAAUCUAAGAUGAUAAAACCCUCUGAUAUCCGUGAGGGCCCUCACGCACGUGGACGCAUACAACCACUAUUGAAAGUAACCUCCCGAGGGUCCGCUAGGUCGCCAAGUCAUGAUUUGGAGUCAAAUAUAAACCAUGUUACAAGUUUCACUGCGAACUGGGAUUUAUGACAGCGUUGAUGUAAAACGCCUGCUGCAAACCUCAGCCUGCUGCUGAGAACGCUGCCACCUGCGAGGCAGGUAUAUACGUAGUGCAGGAAUAGAAGAAGUAAUGCAGUAACAGCUCUAUGGGGAACAUAUCAUCAUGACUAUAUAGCUGGGCCUGAACUAAUUUAAAUAAAAAUUAAGCAUAGGUUGGGAUUUAAUUUUCCCAGGCCCUAAGUAUAAUAAUAUAUGCAGCAGCAUGUGCGGUAAUACUCCGAGCCUCCAGCAACAGCAGCAGUGUCAAGUAUUCUACCUUGUUGUAACCGUGAUUUGCAGCUACAUUUCUUAUGGCCUGCCUUGUUAAUGUCGGAGGACCAUACUUGACUAGCAAGCUAUCCGGAGGCCGCAUCCUGCUGCGUGCCGUACAGGGUUUCAUUUAGAUGCCUAUGGCACAUGGAGUGGCAGGUCCAACAAAUAUUUCUAAUUGAUAUCCUUAGCCAUUUUCCUCUUUCCAGCCUUGGGAUAGAUGCAUUAGCAUCUUCAGAAACUUGACCAUGUUUGCCCUCGGCUUAGCGAUAUUAUUAUGCAUAGCAAGCUUGCUCCAAGUUGCUGUUGGCCAGCCUGUCAUCAGCCGUAUCGACCCCGCAAUUGGCAGUCUGGCCGGAGGCGCCAGGUGGGCGGGGCUGGCCUUCCAGUUGACUUCAUGGGCAAAAUAACUAACCAGCAUUGCAUGGCCUCCCUCCGCAGGCUGGUGAUAUAUGGCAACAAUUUUGGUGACAUGUAUACCACCAGCAGGAGUGUUUAUAUAGGCCCGUAUCCCUGCAACAUAAUCUCCCACUACUCGAGCAAUGAAGUGGUAAGCGCUUGCAUAACAUCCUUACGAUGGUGCACAAUAAUCCAAACGCAACAGCGGUAUGCUAACAUGCCACAUUGCGCCGCACAUUCUUGCAGCUCACCUGCGAAACCAGCCCGGGCUCAGCCGGUACCUACCUGGUUUAUGUUUCAGUUGGCGACUAUGAACCCGCCAUGUAUGGAGGAUUCACAUACACAAACGAUAUUACACCAAGUAGGAUACAGUCGUAUGUGUAUGAAGUCAAUGUUUUUCGUUUUGGUUGGGUUAUUAUGAACACGCACGCAGAGGGCCAGAGCGGGGUCUAGCAGUGUUGAUGUUCCUGGGCAUGCAUACCCUGAAGUCGGAUGGGAUGAACGGAUUAGGGUGCCCCUCUAGCAGGGGAGAGCAGGGAACUGCCUCGGGAAAGGGGGCCGCUGCUGAAGCUAUACCACCCUGUAACAACAUACAUACCAUGUGUGCGUGAGUAUUCGUGGCUCUUUCCAACUUCUUUGCUAGCACUGAGCUUAGACGAUGGACAUGCAUGCACAGGGCCAUGGUUGGCUCUCGCCUUGUCAUGUUCCUGGACAUGUCAGCAUGCAAUUUUGUCGCCAUGAUUACCUAUGCAUGGCUGCCUUGCCGUUGUACUCGCGCUCACCGCGCGUCCUCCUUCGUUACCCUAAGCUAUCCGCCGGGAUCCUUCUAAUCAUGCGAUGUGCUGACGUGUGCCCCCAGCUCUCAAGGCAGUCUUGCCGCGUGCGGGGCCACCGGGAACGGAGGUGUUCAUAUACGGCGACAGGACCGCGUACAUGAUGUAUCGCGAUUGUGUGGAGUCAAACUGGGGUGACAUGAAUUGUGUCGGCAGCAUUCUUUUCGGCGAUUACCUUUGCAGGCAGGACCCCGCCGACCCAGACUCGCCCAUCAUCAUGACCACCAAUCCGCGGCUUGGCCCGUACCUGUACCGUAUCGGGUGCACCAUGCCAGCGCAGAACAGCAACAACACUCAGGUGACACAUGGGGAGUCAAUCGGUGGUCAUGAAUUACUUCUUGUGGAGUGCAACUAGCGUACGCAUACGGGGACAUGGAGAUCUGGGGUGAGGGGGCGGAUAUGGUCUUGCACAAUACCAUCCAGAUGUUGACCCAACUCAAAUCCUGUAUCGUGUUUGUGGAUCGCCCCAUGCAUGACCGCAGCCCGCCCUCGGCAAGGCCGCCAGUUUGAAUGCGACCAUCCACUUUGAGGCCAGCAUGCGUGGUGGUGCACCGACUGCCCUCCCUUCGUCGUUCCUGUACAAUGUCGACAGCGUGCCUUACCAGUUUCAGCUAUACCCAGAGGUUACAGGUGUGUCGCCCGCGACCGGAUCGAAUGCGGGUGGCACCUUGGUCAAAGUCACCGGACGUGGGUUUCCCGACUUGAGGCUGGGCAUGAAUGAUACGAUUGCCAUCUCUAUUGCCGGUGUGCCUUGUGACAUCGUGAACAGCACUUACGACACGCUCUUCUGUGUGACCGGCCCUAAGCCUGCGGCCACGGUAUCCCCUAUUGGCGGGUUGUACCCUGCAAUGCGUGGCAUCGAGUACGAGUUUUAUAAUAUCUCGCGGCUGUCAUAUGGAAAUCUUUGGCAGCUGAACAACACCAUCAAGGUGCAGCCUUUGAAUGGCUCUUACCGUGCCGUGCUGACGGGUUCCUGGGAAGGAAACGAAUAUUCCACGCCGUACUACUGCAGCCGCAGCAAAGCGUUUUUUACAGCUCCCCGCGCCGGGAACUACAGGUAAGAGUACUUGAGCUUCGUAGCUUCGUUGUACUGCUUAAUCUGUCGUGCACGCCGCCGAGCAGAGCGGUGCAUGGCGUCUGUAAAUUUGAGGAGUGCCCAUAGACCAUCUAUUCCAGGCCUAUCUAUUACCAUGGCACGAUCUGUAGACCAAUCUGUACCAUGAUCUAUACACGAUUUAUUUCUUGGUCCUAUCUAUAAUACGAUGACCCUGUCUAUAGACGAUAAAAAAACCUUACCGACGGGUGUAUGCCCCGCCAUGAAUUGUAGGAUACCUAUGUGUUCUACUGCAAGGGCCUGCAUGGGAUUGCAUGAAAGCAUCGCGCUGCACGGGAACGGGAAACAUGUCCGUUCUCAAUCACGCCCGCCUUUCCCCCAUCUCGCAGUUUCUACAUGUCCGCAGAUGACUAUGCCCAACUGAAUGGGACAUGGAAACAGGUAUGUCAUUGAAGAGCACACGCCCCACAUACGGCACACGGAAGAGGACCCUAAUACGCUGCUUGUUAGCAGCCAUGUUCUUGUGCGUGAUCAUGACGGCUGUACGGCGGUACACAAAUCACAGUGACGUAUCCAUCCUCCGCAAGUCUAAGCGUUCCUUCGUCAGCUUCAGGCUCAAGACUGCCGAAAGGCCUGCCUUAAAGCUCUCCUGCCCUUUUUCAACCUAAGCCCUAUGGUGCUACCGCCAGUAGUUCGAAUGAUCUGCCCGAACGUUUCUUCACGCCCUUUAUUUGUGUGGUCCGCCUUCUGCGGAGGCCUAUUACUGUUUCGUCUUCUCAUCCCGUGUGUACCGCUGUUGCUCCUGUGGGUUGCCCCUUGCAGUCCAAUGGCGCAUUGGUAUCGACCACACUCAUCAACCUUCAGUCCUGGACGUAUAUUGACAACUUCUUCCAAAGCCCGUCGCAGCGGUCACUGGAGGUCACCCUGAACGCAGGCCAGAGUAUACUUCUGGAGAUGAACCACUGCAACGGCGCCUCUGUCGGUUUUACGCAGCUGGCCGUGCGCAUGCCAGUCCCAGAGCCGCGGCUGAACUCAUUACCAGAAAUUCAGAAGAUCUCUAUCUCUGCGACCUUUUUUCCUCGCUCAGUUGCCAUCAAGUAUCUGUAUGGUGAUGGCGCCGCCGUGACUGCCUUCAACAUCACCAUCAGCGCCCUGAAUGACACUGCCCUGGAUGACCCGCAGAUCGGACUGUAUGUGCAGAUCAACGGCGGCUGGGAUAUUGUCCUUCCCUUGGGUGCCACCACCGGUGCAAUGGAUGACCUGGUGGAAGCCUCCCUCGGUGGAAACUUCACCAAGAACGACACCUUGUUUGGCAUCCGCAAGACCCGCGCUUAUGGCACGCUGACGCUGCAGAUGGCUGCUUUGGAUGGAUCCAUGGGAAGCUUCAAUGUGACUGCAGCGAGAUUGGUCCUCCUUCCCCCGCCGCCGCCGCCCAUGGAUAACACAUGCCCUUCUAAUAGCAGCGCUGCUAUCAACGUCACAUCUAUGUAUCCUCCUCCUGCGCCUCAGGCACUACAGAGUGCUGGUACUGGCUUUACGGUUAAUGUCUCACGGGCCCAGGCGGUCCCUGCGGUCGUUCCUACAGGCGACUUCCUGUUGGGGCUUUACGGCAACGCUACUACAUCCCGGGUGUCAGCAACUGCCAACUCCACAGCGAUGGUUGCUGCAAUCCAAAAUGUGACUGGUUACAACUCCAAUUACUAUUCGGUCAACGUGACGAAUGCACGUGAAGGUGCCUAUUUUGCACGCAUCUGGAACAUCACCUUCACCUACUCGUGGUUGGACAACGUACCGGCACUGGUGGUCGGGCCUUCAAGUACGACACCCCCGGGCGUAUUACUAACAAUGGAGUCACGUAGCGCUAGCCCGCGCCUGAAGGGCUCCUUCAAGGUGGCCUUUGGCAGCAGCUGCGCAUCUGUGAAAAUCAACCUUGGAGACUCCUCCGAAACCAUUGAGGCCGCACUGGGGAGCCUGCCGGGCCUGGCGCCACCGAAGCAGGUUGAUGUCUCAGGCGACGGUACCAGCGGCUACGUUUACACCAUCACCUUCGACCCAAUCAAUAAUCCUGGAGAUCAGCCGGAGCUGCGCAUUGCGGAUGCAAGCGACCUCCAGGGUGUGAACCCCACGGGUAGCAUCACGACUGUGUGGAAUGGCACCACUGACGCCUUCUACGCGCCCAUCCCGACGGAGUUUCUGCGCCUGGCUGUUUCGCAACCUGGGACCAUCAACUUGCAAGUCAACGGCGUGCCAUCGGCUUGUGCGGAUGCAAGCGGCAUCUGUGGGUUUUUGUACUCUGAUGCUGCCACCCCACGCAUCACAGGCGUAUCACCAACUAGACUCGCAUUCAGCAGCCAGGCGAGCUUGCCCCUUACCAUUACUGGUUCUGGUUUCAGCAGUGGCCCCAGUGUGGAGGUCCGGGUGGGCACGGCGCUGUGCAAUGUGACAUCAGUCACUGCGACCCAGAUCACCUGCAACGUCCCAGACACGGCGCCUGCUGGCGUCCGGCUUGUUUCAGUGAACGUGGCUGGCCUGGGGUUCGCGGACGGCGCUCCAAAUGUCACACUGGAGACGCUCUACGUGACUGGCUCUGCACCCUCGCCGGCCGUACUGUCCUCCGCGGGCAUAUCGGUGCUGAACUUCACAGGCAAGGGUUUCGACUACGUUGAUUGCGCGAACAACAAGCUGACCAUCGGGGGCGUGCGAUGCAGCAUCAUCAAAUGCCAGCCUAAUAUGCUGACGGUAAUUUACCCUGGCAACAAUGGGGCGAACGCCGCCGCAGCAUCCGUAACGGCGGAGGUCUACGAAAAAGGGCAGUUAAUAGAUUCAGAUACACCCUCCGGCCUGACAGUCAGCGUUUCAAGCUCAGCACCGUCCAUCAGCACUGUAUCACCUGCACGCCUGCCGGGUGCAGGCGGUGUAAUCACAUGGUCUCUUACUGGGGCGACAGCAAGCCAGGUGAUCUCCGCGUCCAUGGUGCCGUUCAUCUCCUCUUUCACCAACUACACGGAGGCCUCGGUAGCCUUCCAAGAGCCAAUACCGUGCACUGACGUCACAGCAGGCAGCUCAGGCACCUUGACGUGCAUCAGCCCGGCCCUGCGCAACGGCCGUUACCACAUCCUCGCAGUUCUGUCCUCGGGCUUGCAGCUAUUGUCGUCCGAUACUAUCCUUUUCGAGCUCUUCAUCACCAGUGUCUCACCCAAUCUGGGAAGCAUCGGCGGCGGCACUACCCUUACCAUCACAGGUUCGGGUUUCAGCCAAGUGGUAUCGGAGAAUGUCGUUUUCAUUACCGUUCCAGUUUCGACAACAUUUCUUAACGGUGUUGUCCAAUGUAUAGCAACAUCGGUCACAUCAACCACCUUGACGUGCAAGACGCUUCCAAACCUGGCCGCUGACGCGAGCGCUAAUGAUCCUUUUGCCAAGCAAGUGAUGCCCGUGGACACCACCCCUGGACGCGCGGUUUCCGUUGUUAUCUGCGACUCCAGCUACAACUCAAGCUUCUUGCAGGAGUAUUGCUGGUCACUGCCAGAGACGGCCCGGGCGCGGUGCGAUGCAGCAGGUGCCGCCACAUGUAAUUUUGGGUAAGUCAUCUAUCGCUUGUGGCUAGUGGCCUAGAUUUCCUUACUUAAAAACAUCUUUACGUGGUCCAUUUCUCUGCAAACAGGUACUCGACCGAGCUGACACCUGCUGUGGACUAUCUGUACCCGAGCAGCGGGAGCCUGGGGACUCGCAUCACAGUCGUGGGCAGCUACCUUAACAUGGUGACCGAGGUCCAGUUCCUGCAGGGUGGCGUGCUCAAGGGCGCCGGGAGUAACAUUAUCUCAAGCCGCACGAACGUGUCCUGCGAUGCUCCCGAUCUGCCACCGGGUGUUUACACGAUUCUCCUGCUCAAGGCGAACGGCGAGAAGUCCGUGGAUCCGUAUGGCAAAGGUACCUUUACCUUUACGGCCUCAAUCGACAGAUUAACCAGGAAUGUGGGGUCGCUUGCGGGUGGGCUGCCGCUGGUGCUUUCAGUUGGCGGCGCCGGCCUGGCCGUCGGUCCGGACAACUUGACCGCCAAUGCGAUAACGAUUGCUGACUUACCUUGCCCCAUAUUGUCGGUCAAGAACCGCACGGAAGUGACCUGUCGUGCGCCAGGCAUGAACGGCUACGUGUUUGCUGAGUACUGGAAUUUGGGAGUGUCAACAUCCUCCAUGCCCGACAUCUUCAGCUUCACAAAGCCCCGUAAGCUUAUACAUCUUUGUUAUGCUACGGGGUACUCUAUGGUUUGCUUACUGGAACUAGGGCCGCAUGCGGGCAUGACGUGUUUCUGCAAGCAUGCAUUAAGCUGGACUGGGUUUUGUUCGUACUUCGAGCGCUACAUACCCAUCAAAUGCGUUAGCUCAUGCGUCGCCUGGCUCAGCACUCAAAAUCCUCUUCUCUUCCACGUACUCCAAUGAUUGUUCGCUGAUGACGAUGACCGCUGCCAUACUUCGCACGCAGAUAUUUCCCGGAUUGAGAAAGGGACAUCUUUCUCGUGGGGUACCAUGUCGCCAGAGCCGGGCGUGAUCAACUUUGAUUACUGGGCUGCUCGCUUUACCUUUUACUACCAGGUCUGUUUGCACUGCUUGGGUCAGAAUCCUACUGCAAGGACUCAUAUAAGUUAAUUGUGUACGUGACCGUUACACUGCUGUGCAGAUUUCUGUAACGGAGAACGUGACCUUCUACAUGUAUGCUGAUGAUGAUGCACGCCUUUACAUCGACGAUGUCCUGGUUGGCGGUCGCAAUACCCCACUGGACACGAUUCUGUACCCUGGCCUGCGCAAAUUGGUCGUCACGCACGUGGAGUAUAAUGGUGGGGCUUAUCUCUCUGUGGUGAUCUCGAGAAGGCAACCUAAUGGAGCGCGCGGACCCUUCGCUUACUUGGAGUGGCAGAAGGUUACACCGGUACCUCCAGGAACGCCACUGCCAGUCAAGCUUACAGUCAACGGCAUUGACUCCGUGACACAGUGUCCCGUCACCAACCUGACACUUGUUCUGCCAGGCCAGCCGAAGGCGCCGUUUGAGCCGUCGUGGGUGCAGACGCCCAACAGAACAUGCUCUUAUGUGUACUCAGUUUAUCGCACACCGUCACUGUCAGCAUUGAGCGGGAUUACGUUGAGUGGCAUCAUGCAGCCCACCUUCAACAGCACCAACACAACCUUGAGCAUCUUUGGCGAUUUCCUGACGGACCCAAGCCUACCCGCCGCGUCCCAGAUCAGCGUCACUCUGGCCAACCGGCUGUGCAGCAUUGUUGGUGUCGCACCGGUGACGGUCAACGGCACCAACACAACCAAUAUCAACUGCACGGCGCCCGCCUUGCCGGCUGGGCAGUGGCCUGUUAGUAUUAUGGUUGAGGGCCUGGGUCUUACACGCCCCACAGCGACAGCUGCGACGGACUUGCCAAUCGUAACCUAUACGGUCAGGGUUCUUAGCUACACCUUUAACAACCCCAACUCCAAGUGCUAUUUCUCCCUGUUUGGUGGCGGCACCUUCAACAUCACCGGGUAUGGGUUUGUGAAGGACUUGGUCGAUACGACACUUCAAGUCAACAUGACGGCUGCGUGGGAAACCGUCUUUUGUGGC